AGAUAUGAAGGUUACACCAAUUAGUUGAACAAAUAUGUCCAACGUAAAGCAUCUUAGUAACAUAUGUUGGAGACUAAGGCAAAGCAACAAAAAGUUUAGGGAAGAGAACAAUGAACAUAUGUAUUUCUUUCAGUCAGCAAUUUCAGAACAACUACAUUUUUACGAUGAUAAGCUCCUCUAGAGUAUUUUAUUGAUGUUAGAAGAAGAUUAAGUGUUUCUUCAAUUUCCGUUUUUUGAAAUGUAUGAUGACGCUUAAACCAAGUAUAUUAUGCAAUUUCUACCUCUGAUUCCAACAUUCCAACAAGUUUAAAAGUUCCCUUAACUGCUACAGCUACCUAUGCAAUAAACCAGAAUAAAUCAUUCAUAUGGAAGCACAUGCUAAGAUAUAACAUUUUCGAAAAUGGCAGCCCUUAUUGAAAUAUGCUUCUAAAUCAUCUUCUCCUUACCACUACGCAUUCUUAGAACACAACCAGAUGAUUAAUCACCUCAUACUAUGCUCCCUGAUGGACUUAUAUGAUGUGAAAUGUGCUUCUAAACCAUCUCCUUACCACUACCCAUUCAUAUACAUGCUGCUGCAGUAGUUAAGAGGACAAAACACAUUGAAAUGAAAAACCACCUCAUGAGAUGCUCCCUAAUUAUGUAAAAUCACCUAAAAAUAAUGAGGCUUCUAUAUCUACAUAGAAUCCAACGGGUUGGGUUAGGCAAUUUCAUGCAGUUAAACAAAUAGGAGGACACAGAGCAACAUAAUGAACAAACCCUGACACUUCUAAUCAGAUAAGGAGGAAAAUAAGAUCCUUGCCUGUUCUCUGAGAAGGAAAUCUAGCUUUAUCUUGUAGAAGUUGAUAUACCUCCUGCGCAUUCUCCUGUAUUUUUUCCCGAAACAAAAAUCUAAAAAUUAAGCAGACCGCUUGAAUAUAUUCCGGGAGUAUUUUUCUAUUUAUGCCAUGAAAUAGUAAGUUAUUUGCGUGGAAGUAAAGUAUACAGAAAUUUUAAGAGAAUCAAAAUUGUAAUAGCUAUGUGAUUAAGUAUCAUCUAAUUAAAAUAAAAGAAAUGAUGUCAGAAAAGUAAACUUACAUUCGCUGUUCAAGAAAUCUCCAUGAAGUUUUCCACAGUUUCUUAUGUACAUCAGAUAAAAUUGAUUUUUGGGCAUAGUGCCACCAAAGUUUCUGCCAUCCUGGUGGUUUCCUCAAUAAGGAAGUGGAGCAGGGACGAUACCGCCCAUACCUAAACCAUUUAAAAUGUUCUUAAAUCAGUAGUUCUUCGAAAAGUUCUGUAGUGUCAAAUAGUAGAGCUAAAACUCAGGAGAAAAAAAAAUACGAAUUGAGGAAAAGUUAUCGCUACCCUAAUGAAAGGCUUACCUCUCACGCAAUUGGCUGGUUUGCAAGUAAUCUAACAGAAUAAGAAUCUGCUGCAAUUGAAAUUCAUUCAGAGUCAUGACCUGAAACGCAUAAGUGGAAGUUAGAGUGAGUCAUGAAAAUAAAUCUUAGCUCUGAACCUAGUUCAGCAAUUUCUGAGAACUAACCACAUCAGUCAACUCAGCGCUGAUAGAAUACUGAGGAAGAUCGUCAAAAAUCUCUCCAGAUCGAUUGACCUAUGCAAAGAAGUGUAUCAGGCAAAAUGAAGAAUGCCUAUUUACAUACAGCACAAAAAUGCACUCAAACAAUAGCUGAUGCACACCAAUGUGCUUUCUGUACAAAUAUUGUAUCAUUGAUCAGAUCGCUGUAAAAAUCUUUCACCAAAUACAAUGUCCAUAUGCAGCUGAUGGUGACAAUUAAACGAAUUGGCAAAAACGGCAAUGUAAAUCAUUUCUAGUAACAUUGACUGAUUAAAAUGUCAUCAAAAUUGCGUAGGCCAUCAGGUAAAUCAAGAAAUAGACUCAGUACAGCAGAUAUAACAUAUAAAUGUGUACAUCUCAUUUUUAACAUAACCGUAAAGCUAGAGCAAGGAUGCAGCGCCUUGAAGCAGCAACAAAGAUUAGAUGCUAACAAAAGAUGUUAAAAGACAGCAAACCAAUGACGCUGUUUUAGAUCCAUUACCAAUAGCGUUACAGAAACAUGGACUGGCUUCAGUAAAUAACCAAAUCUAUUGCUUUGCAAUCUUGACUGGCACCAGUUGUCAAAACCUCUUUUUUCAUUAACACUUGGAAAGUCCAUGUUUCCCUCAUACAUGUCACAAUAUAUUUCCAAACCUUCAAUCUCCACAAGUAUAUUCACUUGCCCCCCUCUCACCCUACCAACUGAUGGCCUGAUAUUCAACAGAGACAUCAUGUCAAAUAUUUCAGGGUGCACAUAUAUCCACCAUGAUCUUAUCUUAGCAACAACAAUUUAGCUUAUGGAAGAAACAGGUAUUAAGGAAAUUUUACAGUAAGAAAAGAGACAGUUGGAAGAAAGUUAUAAUGGGGUAUACUCUAUGCUGUCUCACAAUGUGACUCAAAACACAUCACCUUACCAUAGUGUAAAGCAAAGCUACAAGGAAUCAAAUACGAAAGUGGAAUAUAUUUUUAAGUGAUAUAGAAGAAACAAGGCAACUGGAAAGAAAUUAAUGUGGGGUAUGCUCUCUGCUGUCUCACAAUAUAAUUCAAAGAACAUAUCCUUGCCAUAAAAAUAAAGCAAAGCUCAGAAUCAAACACAAAGUGGAAUAUAUUUUAAAGUGCCAGAGAAGGUGCAUAAAGAGAUUACCCAACUGAGUUUUGUUUAGUAACUGUCAAGCUUGAAAACCGCAAUCCUAAUACAACUUGCACCUGCGACAGCAGUUUAGAGUAAAACAUAUGAAAGUGGGAAAGUAGACAACACCAAACGAUUGUUCAAAUUGUACUCUAGUGAAUCGCAAGAAAGACUGAUAGUAAUUUAGAAUCACAAUGCUCAAAUAUUUAAAUCUAUCUAGAUUCAUAACCUCCAUGAUAAAUGUUAUGCUCUCACAAAUAAACCAAGAUCACAGAACGAUUAUCGAUGUAUACAAGUUUCUACAAUUGCAAUGGGAAAAUUACAAAAUACAAGCCUAUAUUCUAGCAAACUAAUUAAACAGAACAAGCAGAAGGCUUACUGAUUCAGGUUGUGCAUCGGAGUAUAAGAUGUGAAAGUUUCUGAUGGACACUUGAAUGUUAUCAAGAACCUAAGCCAAUAAAGAAGGAAAGUUAACAUAGCACAAAAAAAACAAAGACAAGAAUGAUAACCUCAUCCAAAAGCAGGAAGAUCUACACAUCCUUAAAAACCGGCAACAGACCAAUCAUAAUAUGAAAAAUGUAAUAUGCUAAAACUAAGGUUGCAAAAGGAGACUUGCGGAACAUAAUGUUACCUUGGCAGCAAUAAAUGAGAAAAAAGACUUCCCCGCUGGACUGUCUGGAAAAAGUAAAGAUUGAAGGGGUUGAACAAAUGUUGCAUUGGAGCAAUCUUAAAGAUAAAUAAGAAGGAUAUUUGCUCACCGACGCGCCUGGACAAUUUUGCUAGUUCUGCAGCAGCAAGCUUAGCUUGCUUACCAGCAAACUCUCUUUUCUCAACGACAUCUGAACUCCACUGCAAUGACCAUGCAAUAUAUAUGGGUUUAGAGGCAAACACUUGUCAUGUAUAGAAAAAAAAAGGCAACUAUACAAGGAAUUCACCUCUUGAUCAUUCCGUUGUGAUGCACAUAUAAAGACAUCUUCAAGCAUAAUGAUUAUAGGAUCCCUACCAAGUUUCUUCCAUGGAAUUUUAAUGCUCAAUUUCCCAACACGGCCUAGAUAAACAACAAACGAUUUGAUACAGACAAAACGAAAAAGCUGAGAAUCGAAACUUCAAUCGAGUAACUAUAUCACCUUGCUUGAGAGCAAUUGGAAGCUGCAAAUACUCAAACGCCUCAAGAAUCAGUUCCACGUUCUCCAAUAAGACUUCCCCUACAGUUAGAAGCACGAAAUUGUGCGUAAAUCAUACAAUAGAGUGAGAAUAGAGCGAAAGAGAAGGAGAGAAGACGUGCAAAUACCAUUCCAGAGUGUGAUCUUGAGCUGGUCUUUUUUAAUGUCUUUGAUGUAGCGACCUAAGUACCCUAACAACAGUUGAACAACUCCUUGCACAAUUCCUUCAAACAUCUUCAAUCAAUCACUAUUUCAUAUUCCAGUAAAGAAUUUUCCUCCGCCGGGAGAAGAAGAAAAGAGACGGUGGUCGGAGUAGUGCGAACGAGUCGAGGAAUAUCGUAGGGUUUUUUUCCCGUCGAAACAAAUAGACUUGUCUUCUUCUUCACAAGACUAAAAUUUCUUUCGGUUUAGUACCUUUCCUACCGAACCGGAUCAGACCAAACGUGCCUAAUGUUGAUUACGCUAACCGGCUAAUACGUAAUUUGGGUUUUUUUUUACUACCUUUUUUCCCUAAGAUUUUUCUAAACAAGUUUAAGAGAAACAUUAUUCAUUUUCUCAGUUGAAUGAUUGGUUUUAUAAUAUAUAUUUUUUUUGUGCAAAGAUUGGUUUUAUAUAUCUGAACCUUCAAUCAUGAAACUUUGUUUUUGUUUGUCAGAAAUCAUGAACCUUAACCCCUAAUCCCAACAUCUUAAACCUUAACCAUUCUAUAACCUUUGUCUACCUCAUAAACUCGCAAGAUUUGAACCCUAAACCCAUAUUCUUCAAAUCUAACCAUCAUCACCGCCGGAUCUUAUCCCGACUUAUUCUCACUCUUUGUCGUACACAUAUAAAGAAGUCGCACGAAAAAAAAUGUGAGUGAGAAAAUUUUUUGUCUACUUUUUUUUUUUUAAAUAGUUUGUUUCUACUAACACCUUUAAGAAAUGUGAGAAUUUAUUUAUUUUAUAAGCAAAGUUUCUCAACAUUCAAAUCCCCUAAACUAAUUUUAGUUAGUCAAAUGGAAAACAAUAAAAUCAUGUCUUAAAACUUUUGGAUCUAAAUACCGUAACCUCUUGAAUUAAACUCUUGAUGUUGCAGACUCUUGGGGAGAAUGUGAGUUUCGUGUGGUGGCGCUUUUAGCCUUCUUCGAUUGCUAAAAGUGUGACAAAGGAUGGUCGGUUUCAUCUAUAUAUAUGGCACUUUGAAGGCCAACGGCCUGGCUCCACGAUCAAGUGUGAAAUGAAGCAAAUUAUUGAAUUUCUUUUAUUUUGUUCUAGUUUAUGUUAUCUCGGUUUUUCGAAUUUUAUUCGGAUAUAAUUUUUUUAUGAGCAGAUGAAAUUUUAAUUAAAAUUUGAUCCAGAUAUAGUAGUACUAUCAAAAGAAGCUCAACUAUAUGACAAGGAGGUAUAUGCUUCGGUUUGAGCCUUGGAGACUUGGCAACAUUAACAGAUUCGGCAAAUGGUCUCAUGAUGUCCAGAUAAACAAUCUGAACAUUCAUAUUAGAUGAAAAAGUAAAUAAGUAAAAACAAAAAAAAAGUAAAAUACUAUGAUUGAGCAAAUCAGCUGAUAUCUUCUUAUAUAGACUUUUCCUAGUAAUGAGGCAAAGUAGUAUAAUUCAUAAAUUAUACCUAGGAAGUCUAGUUCUCUUGGAGCUUCCUUGCACCAUUCAAUAUUCAUCUAUCAUGGGGCUAAAAUUGUACUGUGCAUGGUUCUGCCCACGCAAUCCAAUCAACAAUGGACUUUGCAUUCUUUCUUUUUUUUUUUUUUUGUCGUCUAAAGAUCUUUAUUAAUGUAAGGUAACCAAAAACCAUCAAAACAAAACAUCCAAAAUCAAAAAACAGAGCCCCACAUAACAGAGCAUUCAUAGUAUGAAAAUCUUUCCAUCUAAAUCAUCUUCUCUUUUCCGCUUCAAGCCGUGAAUGUAACCAAGCCGGACCACCACGAGCUAGAUAUGAUCGCACACGACCGUCUCUUGUGACACUCAUAGCUAUAUCUUUUGCGAUUGAAUUAGCUUUUGGAGAAGACACCUUGAACACUAUUUUACCAAAGUUUGAUAUCACCCGAUGAAUCCUAUCAAGAUAGGAAAGAUAUCUUGGCCAGUUUGAAGGAUCAAGAAUAGCUGAAAUAGCAGCAUUACAGUCGGAACAGAUCUCAAUGUUGUCCAAUGCAACGCUGAAAGACUAUCCAAAACCCAUAGAAUACCUCUUAACUCCGCAGCAAUACAAUUAAUUACGGGCAUAAACAUGUCUCUCGCAUGGAACACUGCAUCUCCUUAGUGAUUCCUUACUAUCCAUACUCCACCACAUAUGAGACUCAUUUAACCAAGAAACAUGGAUAAUUUACAGUGUAAUAUAGCCAUGGAUAUUGGAGAUCAGAGUGCAUACCAUGAGCUUGUAAACACACCGAGACUGCUAGUGCACCAGAUAAAGCCCUCCAUAAAAAUAUUUUGAUCUUAGGUACAGUUUUAACAGUCCAAAUCUUCUCUUUAAGAACUCUAGACUCUUGUUCCUGAGCAGAUAAUGGUGUAGACACAGUUUGCACGUUGGACAACAACCAAUUGCCACUCUUAACCGUGUAACACCCAGACCGAUUAUAAGCCCAAAUGUAACUGUCAGCCACGGCUAUAUUUGGAGGAUACGACAUAAUUCUAACAAUAUCCGGUGGGAAAAACAGUUCCAUUAGAAGAUGAUGAUUCCAAGAGCCUUGGGGGGUAAUAAGGUUUGAAACCCAUAAAUCUAAAUCAUACAGAGACUGUUUGUUGAAAGGACGACACGGAGCAUUAUCGAAUAUCCAUUUAUCGGUCCAUACACUCGUCGUUUGACCAUUACCUAUGUUCUUUAUGAGACCUUUUCCAAGCGAUUCUCGACCAUGAAUGAUGUUGCGCCACACAUAAGAAGGUCUAGAACCGACCACAACAUCCAUAAAACCCUUCCGGUGAUAAUAGCGUGCUUUAUAUAAUUUGGUUUUGUGAGAAGUCUCCAAGCUUGUUUUGCGAGUAGCGCUUGAUUAAAAUCACCAACUGCACGGUAACUUAACCCACCUUGUUUCCUUGUUUUACACAUCUUUAUAGCAACAGUAUUCAAAGAUAUUGAUAAAUUUGAUGCACGGAAACCCGAAACUUGAUGCCUUUAUAGCAACAGUAUUCAAAGAUAUUGAUAAAUUUAAGGAUCAGAGGAGGUGAAGUCUCAACAUAUUUUCCUUUUACAACUCCACAUUUUCAGAGAAAAGUUACUUAUCAUGAGAGAUUCCUGAUGUUGUUGUGCCUUUCGUUUUUGGUUUGGGAAUUGGCUUUCCAUGGAGACAACAAGGCCCAUGAUAAUAAGGUCAGAAACUCCAAAGUAUGUAACACACUAACUUAAGCAGAACUAAUGCUUCUAUGGUGACAAUGAUUUGUACAUCAUUGUAAUUCGGUUGGUUGCCUAUGGUGGAUUUCUUAAUCAGAGUUGUUAAUUGGUUUAGCAGAUACUCUUAUUCUUCACACUGGAUAUGUGAUUUGUUAAAAAUGUUGCACAUGAAACGAAAUAGAUAAAGAAAAGAAAAGGAGUAACUUAUUUACUGAAAACCUGCAAAAACCAACGACAAGCAAAAUUCAAUCCUGAAACUUAACUGGGACAAGGCUUAAAAGGUAUCAAAGUAUAGCCUAACAUAGAUAGAAAAAAAGAAGCAAGUUUCAUUCAAAACACAUGAGAAUGAAUACUCAAAACAAAGAUCAUUAGUCAUUACUGACAGAAGCAGCACUCCACAACCUUAGAAAUGAUCAAUACCGCAAGAAGAAAGACAAAGCCGCCCACAGCCCACAUAGAAGCCUCAAACCCCACAUAAAUAAGAGACUCCACGGUGGCCCCCAACCUUAAAUUACAGCUACAAUCUACUACAAAACCUAAUGUAAUUUUUUUUAAAAGAAUGAACUACCUCAAAAAGAAUUUACCAUGUAAUCUAAUUAAACAAAUUAAAAUAAUUAAUAAUAUCUUAAUAAAAUAAUUAGCUUAAAUCAUUAAAACCCCAAAAUGGAAUUAAUUGUGGGGACCAUUACUUGUCUCCUUUACGUGUCCCUCUUAGAUAAUUAAAAACCCAAAAUGGAAUUAGUGUAUUCCUUUUUCGAGGGAAAAACGAACAAAAAAACAUAACAAAAAUAAGUUUAACCAAAAUAAAUAAUAAUAGAGCUUCAGAACUUCCAAAAUGUUUUCCGCCUUUAUAUUCAAAAUAAUAGAGCUGUACAAUAAAUCACCAUAACUUUUGUCAAAUUCCUACAAAAUAGAAGACUUCAAAUCAUGAAAAAAAACUGACAGAUAACUCAAAUAAAAUAUUAAAAAUGAAGUAUUUACUUGUAGCACUUGUGAGAAAAAUGGCCAUGUCUAUAAGGUCGGAUUUGGUGGCAGCGACAUUUAACUGGCUAUCGGGAAUAAGAGUUGAACGUACAUAAUUUGAACAUAAGUCAAAAUAUUUUUUAUUCUUACAUCAAAAUUUCUUAGUUUGAAAAUUUCUUACGUUUUCUUGUUCAUCUUCCAUUUAGAAAGAAGGAAUAUAAUAUUAAAAUAAAAUAAAAUGAUAGACGAAGAAAACUAAAGAGAGACACGUGAAAGAGACGAUUAAUGAUCUUCAUAGUUAAUUUAAUUUUGAGUUUUUUAAUGAUUUAACAUAAUAUUUUUUAUUUAGAUAAUAUUAGUUAUUUUAAUUUUUUAAUUAGAUUACAUGACAAAUUCUGAUUAGUUAAUUAAGAGGCCCAACACCGGCGUGAAGCAAUUCAAAAGAGAGAGGACCCAUUAGACCAUCGGUAAAAGCUCCCUAAAUACAACCCAUUGUGGUGACUACGGCGGCAACUUCUGUUUUGACAACUAAGACUUGAAACCAGUUUCAAUCUCCUUGAAUUUGACUUGAAACUGUUGAAUUGGAUUCUGUUGAUCCUUCAUUAAGCUCAUCAUCGCCAUUGUUUCUUCCUCUUGUCUCCUUCUCCGUUCUUUCCCCAUUUGUCUCUCUUCUUAAUCUUAAUUUGUCACACUUUUCUUCUUUCUCCUUAUCUCCCUCCUUUUUGCCGUUUCCGAAUUUCUACGAUGUAUUGAUUGGGCCAUCUUAAUAGGCACAUAGGAUGGUAUUAGAUUACUUUACUGGCCCAAAAGAUAAUAGCUACAUGUUUUUUUUUUAAAUGUUAGAGUAUGUUGUUUUUGUAGAUGCCAACGACCAUCUAUCUUUAAUUCAUUUUACAAGUUUGUAUUCAGCCCUAAAAUCUGUAACAAAAUCUUAUGAUAAAACCUUAACAUAGUUAUAUAUAUAUCUAAAACAAAUGAUGGUAGCUUUAAACAAAAAAAAAAACAAAUGAUGGUAGCAUAUCUUUUUAGAAAAACCUAAUAAAACUUUAACAUAAUUCUAUAUAUACCCUAUAAAUUCUCCUAUAGACAAAAUAUCCUCUGUAGCACAAAGGUUUAAAUUAAAUUCAAUCUUCCAUUUUCGGGUUCAAAGCUCGGCAGCGGAAUGGAUGUUUCUAGUGUCCGUUUAUGUUUAGGUGUAGGGUUUAGGAUUUGGUUCUUGAAUCUCUUAUGUAUGACAGACAAUUUAAUAUUUGGUUUGUUUUCCCUAUUAGUAUCUUGAAUUCCAAACAAUGUCCUUGCUAGUCAUUAGUCUGCCUUGCUACACUUGAUAUUCAAGUAUUUUCAGUGUAAAAAAACUUUGACAGAUUUAAAGGUAAAAUGGACCAAAAAGACAACAAAAAAUCGUUUCAUAAUAGUUUCGAAGCUUCCAAAUUUUGACAUCCGUUGAAAGCCUUCCGAAGCACCAAAUCAAAAUAUCUUGAACGCUAUGGAAAGCUAGAAUAGUCAUGAUUCGCCUUGAAGUCAUCUUUGCAGAUGAGGACUUGGGCAAUGGAUUCUAUUCAUAGUCUCAAGAUGAAUAGGGUCAUCUUUGCAUCUGAGGCACAUGAUAUUUCCGGGGCUAUUGCAAGACUUAAAGCAUGGCUGUCUUUCACUCAACAAGUAAUGGAGAUUAGCCAUUUUUAGGAUAAGCUUAAAGAUUGGAGGCUGGAGGUGGAAAGUGCUUACUCAAAUAGAAGCUCUUCUCUCAUUGCGCAAAGUGUUAUUUCUAAUGCAAGAUUUCAAGACUAUGUAGCUACGGGUCAUCAUUGGUGGUUACAUAGCUAGGGUUUUUGAAGACGAGAGACUUGCCUCUAUUGCUAUUUGAUGUUCCUUUCAGUGGUCUUUUGCUUUGACUAAGUUUUUGGAUAUUUGGAGGAGUUAAUUCGUUUCCCUAAGCUAGUUUCAUCUUGAAUAUUCUUCAAGAUUGGUUUGUAAUGGUUGCUUACCAUUUCUAAUAAAUUUAUCCAAGACGGAAAAAAACAAAAAACAAAAAUUAGUACGGAAAAAACAAGUAUAUAACAAAGAGCUGUGUAUAAGCCUUGGUUUGAGCCUUGGAGACUGGCAACAUUAAUAGUAGAAAAGGAAAGUAACGUUCUUUUGUGGUUGCCAACAAUCAGUAUGCAUUGAUCACCAUCACUUGAUGUAAGCUUUACGUUGUAUAUGACGAUGCUCAUCCAAACAUUCGGUUGCUGCCUGAAACACACACCUCUUCUCUAAGCACUCUCACAGCUUCUGUGACUCCAUCCUGAAAUCAUCAAUUUUUUGGAUACCCUAAAACUAUCAGUUGCCACAAAAUACUCAAACUAUGAAAUAGAACACUCCAUGGGAAGAAAUGAUAAUAAACUGAUCGUAACUGGUUACCUCAAGAGAUAAUAUUUCAGCAAUUUCCAUCGCACAAGCCCUACUUUUUGCAGACAGUGCAUCGUAUAUGGCUUUUGCUACCACUUGUGCAGCUUCCAUGAUGUUUUCAUCAUUUGGUUCCUCUAGAAGCAGGUGGUUUCUUUUCAAUGGUUGAGGAGCAACUCCAAGCCAAGACAUCUUUUCUGCCCAAUAGAACUGAUCCAGCAUAAAUGGGCAUAUGAUCUGUAGAAAGGCAUACACACACAUUAUGUGGUCACUUUUUGGCAUUACAACUUGAAAUUGAUAAAGCUUUAAGAACGUCAAUCAUCAUUUGUAACCAAGCAGUGCACAAAACUAUGGUUUAUGAGCAAGUACUAGUAAAGUUUGUAGCAGAGUAAUCAUAUAUCAUACAUUUUUGAAGGACCAUGACAUGUUCUUCUGAUGUACUAGUUACUGUACAGCUAAAUUUCUACUGAUCCUUCUAGACAAACAAUUACUUUUACCAUUAUAUAUCAAAGAUCUAAUAAACUAACAUACAAACACAAACCUGCGGGAUUCCAGCCUGUAAUGCUGCAGCAACAGAACCGCUGAUUUCCAAAGGGGACAAAAUUCAUAUAGAAAGACAAGCAAAAAUCAGUUUACGUGUAUUUAUAUGUGUCCAUGUUCACCAGGAAAUGGUAUCCAGCUGACAUUUUCACCUGCCACCAUGAUGAAUUGCUGCAGCGCAUCUUUGAAACAUCCACUUGUAUGGCACCAUACUAAUUCAGAGAGACAAAAAAUUAAGUAGGUUAUAUGGUCACAGUGUAAUGUAGGUUUUGUCAUGUCCAAAUACAAUGAUCUUUUAUUGUAAAUAAUGGCCAACUAAAUAUUGGGCAAAUUUGUGCUCACCCAGGGAAACAGAAAAGCUUGCCGUUGAAAAUAGAGAUUCCUGCAUGUAACGGUUGUUUCUCACUUGAAUCUGAUCUAUUAGCAAUGGUCCAAAUUGCUGCAUCUAAAGGUCCAUAACCUGCUGUGAAAAUGAUAAAUCUGUAACCUGUAAUCUGGAUAACAGAUUGGAGAACUCGAAGAAAGGCUAUGGGAUCCCUUACAAAGCCCAUGCUGCAAAAGCAAAGAGAAAAGUUACUACCGUACACUAAUUCAGCAUGGGUUAUAUAAUAUUUGAUAGAAUAAGUCUCAGUCUUCUUCUGAAACAAAAGGUGUUGAAAACAUAAUCAGAAAUGAUUCAGGGGGAUCAACUUAAAUUUAGACCUUCCAACAGAACUCAACCCUACAAAGAUAGGCAGUUCUGGCUCACAAGACGAUAUAAAAGUAUACAACUCAGAGUGGUUUGAGCAUGUAUGGGAAUCGUCUGUACCCAGGCGCCCUGUAAAAGGAUUGUCUCCACACUUGUUGCAUGAAAACUGCCAUUCAUUGGGCAGAAACCAAAAGCCGCAAACUCGAACGCUCAAGGGCCAGUAAUCUGUUAAUAAGAAUAAAUGAAUGCAGUGAAACGCAGAGAACGAAGCUUUUUCAAAUCAAUGACGAUUUACACUGAGAUUUUAUAAUGUGUUCCAAGGAGUCAAGGAAUAAAAACAACUGCGCGUCAAACAAGAUUCAUCUUUAACUAUGAAUCUGUUACAUUCAAUUAGUUUCUACCCCUUUCUAUCAAAUGUAAAACAGACAUCCUUUUAAAGUUGGGUCUGUUUUAACCUUUUUCUUCUCUGGUAUAAAGUUCCAAUCACAUAUUUUCUCAAGAAUUUAUAAAUGGUAAGAAUAUAGCUGCAAAAUAUACCCAAAAGAAAGAAGAAUAAAACUACUACCCAGAUAACUUUUUUUAAAGAAGAUGCUAGCAAAGCACAGAAAAAUAUUUGGUAGACGCGACAAAUAUCCGACAUACCAGGGCAUUCGACGAUUUCUUUGCUGAAACCAUACCUGUCACAAGGAAAAUACGUAACAGGUCACUUACAAACUUAUGCAGUUUCAUCUGGGUUUUACAACUAAAUUACUUAAAUUUCAAAGUUCUUAGUAUUUAAUCAGAUAUCAGCCAGUGUUGGACAUAAAGUGAGAAAGUACAUUAAAUAGAUCAAGUAACCAAAAAAUACUUAGUAUAUGAAGAUAAAAUCGUGAUGGCAAGAUAGAUUGCAAAGUUGAUCAGCUUUUACCACCAAGUAAAUUCACAACUCACAAGACCAAGGGAGAUGGCGGCCGGCUACGCCAAAUUGGAAGGUCUGUUACUGGAUCCUGCAUCCAAUGAGUAAAUCGGGUGACAGUUCACACUAUCAUUUUUCACAAUAAAAUGUAACAUUCUAGGUCUCUAUGUUUAGAAAAUACAUACUGCAAAAGGGUAACAACUUAGGUUGAGUUCCUCGUAGCGCCACGAUCCCCAUUCUUCAGUAAAAAGAGGCCACAUCCAAUGAGUUACAUCACUCCAGCUAACCUGCAAAAACACAGACACUAGAAUGUUUCAGGAGAAAAUAACACCAAUUGCAUGUUUGUAUCACAAUCAUAUGGAAUACCUUGCCGAUGGGGGCUUCUUUCAAGUACUUGUACAAAUCUGGGAGUUCCUUCCUAAACUGUCUUUCAAAGCCUGAUGGUGGACUGUACAAAAGAAGAAUUGCAAGUGAUCAUCUUCCAUUUCCAGGAUGUCACACUCAUACUUGUAAGCUACAAAGUUACCUAUACGGAACAACAUAAGGAGCCGCUACCACACAAGGGAUUUGGAAAAGUUCUGCAAGGCUCCAUCCUUCCUAAAUGCACAAUCAGAUGAACCACAGUUAGUAACUCGAGAUAAAGCAGACACAAUCAAUCCUGGUACAAAGGAGAGAGUAUUAAGCAGAUGUACCAAUGCAAAGAAAUUUAUGACAACGAAAUCACCCUCCAUACAAGGACCCUUUCCGAAAAUGCUUUUGAAUGCAGAAUGACACUCUUCUCUGUGUUCCCUUUUUAUCCUUUCUUUUUCCUCCAAAAAUAGUUUCUCUGAUUGAAACCAGAAUUGAUGAAUGGUUAAAGCUAAGUAAGAAGAAGAAAACCAUAUUUGAAGAAGAAACUAAAAUCAGAGUAUUGACCUGCGGCGUUUUGAGUACCCUGAGGUUCACUAGACAGGGCAGGAGGAGAAUUGAUAGGAAGAUAGGAAACGUUUGCUUUGUUCAAGUGAGAGCUUAGGUUCUGCAACAAAUCAACCUCUAUAUCUUUGAUUCGAGAACGUAGUUUCUGCAAGUCGAGAACUUUAUGAGAAGAAGAAGAAGAAAAAACCAAACCUCAUGAGCCAAAUGUGACAUCAAAACCACAGAGUAGUGUUGCUGAACACGAGCGAAAGCUGCAGCAAUGGCCUGCAAAAACAAAAAACCUUCUUUGGUCUCGCUUCCUAAGCCAGACCCCAAUUAUGAAUCGAGAUACUGAGAGUAGAGACAGAGAGAAUACAGCGAGAGGGUAGACAUCGCCUUUGGUACCGAAAGCCAUGAAGAGAGCGAUGGCUUUCCUUCUCUCCGGUUCCUCCUCCAUGGUGCUCAAAUGCUCCGAUGAAGUGACAGAGCGAUCACCAGUGAAGUGCGUUUGCAACAUUUAAAGGUGCGUUGAAAAACAUUAGAAUCGCGUUUUAAAGACGGUUGCGUCUCACAACCCGCAAAUCCUGCGUUUUUGCGGGAUGUUGCGGUCGCUAGCGUUUAAAACCAAUCAUAGCAAUCAUUUAAAGCAUUCCAGACAGCUCUAUACCGUUCAAAAUUACUGAAUUUCAAAAGCUCUUUUCCGUAAACGUUUGAGGUUGCGGAGGAUCACAAACGGAUGCGGGCAGUAGCGAUUCGAAAAAAAAAAAAAACAAAUAAAUUUCCUUAAAAAUAUUAUCAAACCCUAUAUACUAGUAUAUAUUAACGUUAAUUCUCAAAAUCAUGGCGUCAAACCAAACUGAAGACAAAAGAAAAAGUUUUGACAAUUUUGAUCUGCCAAAAAAAAGUUUUGGUUUGCAAAAUGUAUAUACUUGAAACACUGCUAUCAAUUUAAGAUCGAUGUCCUUGGUUCUAGUCUUCUAGACACUCGUUUGUAUCAUCAUGUCGCAAUCCACUUUUGAUGACAAAAAAAGAGUCUCAUAGCUCUAUAGAAGAAAACCAUCACUUUUGUUUUAUACAACAAUCAGAUAAUGAAAUCGAUCUCAGCUGUAGAAUGUACACAUCUCUUGUUAAUCUUUUUUCGGAGACAUUACUUUGGCAUGUGAAGAACACAACGCAGACACUUUCCAUCUCUCAUGAGAUCAAAAGCUUUGUUGAUUUCAUCAAACACCAGGUUAUGCGUAACCAAUUCAUCGAUCAUAAUCUCCUGCGCCACGGAAGAGUGAAAAUGUAAACAAACUGUUUCAUCCACUAAAAGUGAUUUUGCUAAUGUAGCUGCACGCUUAUAUACCUUGUUCAUGUACUUUUCAAUGAGUGAAGGAAGAUCAGAUUUAGGCUUCCAACCACCAAAUAGAGUCCCUUUUAAAGAUUUUCCAGAAAGGAAAAGUCCGUAAUGAGCUGAAACUUCAGGCUUCACUUUCGGUACACCUAGAGUAACCGUCAUUCCCCAUCCCUGAGAUAUUCACAUUGAAAAGGUUUCAAAAAGGCAUUUGUAUACAAUAUAGUUACAAGGUGGGAACAAAUAGAACUGAAAUCUUACAUCCGAGCACGAUUGUAAAGCAGUUGUAGCUAUUCCUGUGUCACCAACACAUUCAAAUGAGAAAUCCGCACCUCCUCCAGUCAUUCUUUUGAUCACCUAAAAUCCCAACGCAUCAGUAUAAUUUUCUACACCGCCGAUUCCAAUGUCUUUAGUUAUUGCUAUGAUAAGCACAAACCGGAGAUACUGAAAUUACCUGGGGUAUAGGUUCAGAGAGGUCAUUUGAAUUGAUGAAAUCCGUGACGCCAAAUGUCUUUGCUGCAACAAAUAAGAAACACUCAAAACCAGUCCAGAAACGUGUUAUAUCUUAAUGAUGAUAUACCUUGUUCAGCCUUAGCUGGAUUUAUAUCAACCCCAAUUAUUUGAGCUGCUCCUCUGAGUUUGGCACCUUGAGCAACCUACUCAUAAGAGAUUAAUCCCACAUCAGACUCCAUUAGCACAAAAGCAUCAAAACUUCUGUAUCUAUACUUACCGAAAGACCGACAGUUCCAAGACCAAAUAUCACAACACUUGAACCUUUUUGUACAUCAGCAACAUUCCACGCUGCACCAAGACCUAAAAUUACACCCAAUAUUCUCAGUAUUGACUGUAAAUAACUAUUAGAAUUUAAUCAUUUUAAGAUAUUAUUUUUAACUACCUGCAGCUACUCCACAGCUUAGCAGACAAAUUUUGUGCAGAGGUGCAACAGGAUCGACUUUGACAGCACAGCCAGAGUGAACCACAGUGUAUUCGCUGAAACUUGAAACCGCGCAGUAAUGGUAAACAGGUUUGCCUUUGAUGGUGAAGCGUGUCUUCUGAUCACUAUGCAUCAAACCUUUCCUCUCCAUUCCAAGAACCUGACACAUAUUACUUUUCCCAGAGAUGCAAUGCCGACAUGACCCACAUUCUCCAGUGAAUACAGCGAGCACAUGAUCUCCUUUCUCAAACUCGGUUACACCUUCUCCAAUGCUCUCUACUAUACUGCAGUAACAUCCAUAGACACGAUGCUAGGAUUCAAACCAGUAAACUCUUUCUUUACUCAAUUCACAAAGAAGUACACCUUAGAAGCUACUAUUAACUAUAAAAUUCUCUAACUCUCGACUGAUGCCGCAAUGCCUAAACCAAGACUCUAGACAAAUCCAGAAUGUCCCCCAGCACAGUCUCUUCGCUCUUCUAUAAACCAUCACCUCUCAAUUAACUGGUAAGGUUUGAUCCUAAGCUGACCAAGCUAAUUACAAUAGUCCUAUACUAAACACCGCAACAACGCUGCUAAAUCACACACUAAGAACAACAUUAGAGCACUCAAUACCUUAUCACAUUCUACAUAUCCGAAAUGAAGCUAAUUUUCUUAACUUGUUCCUAUGCUUGCCUAAUCUAAAAAAUGAGGUUAUAGACAAAAUGUAACGUACCCUGCAGCUUCAUGGCCAAAUAUUCGAGGCAAAAGAGACUGUACCAACAAAUGGAGACUUCAUCAGAGACACAUACUUAUAAAGCCAGACUCAUUAACAGGUUAUAUAGUAAAGAAGAGAAACUACAAACCUGAGCUUCCCAAGCAGAAAGAUCACUACGACAGAGAGAUGUACAUACAACUUUAAUUCUGAUCUCAAGAGGUUGAGGUGGACUCACUUCAACUUCCUCCAUAACCAAUGGCUCACCAGCACGCCAUGCCACCGCCGCUACAGAAUUUCUCAAUCAAAAAACCUAAUCUUUCAUCAACGAGAACAAAAACAAAAACCCUUUUUUUACCUUUGCAGGUUAUGACUUGAGGUUGUUCGAAGGAAGAAGAAGAAGAAGACGACAUCGUUAUCCCAAAUUUUCUUGCUUCAAGCACAAAAUGAAGAAACCUGAAGAAGAAGACGAAGAAACAGAGCUUCUUCACCUAACACCGAUCCUGAAGAGGAAGAAACAGAGGUUCUUCACCUAACACCGAAAUCACCAACCACCAUUGAGCUUAAGUGAUCCAAGAAAAAAUUAAAAAUGGUGAUUUUACAGCUUUAGAGGUCCCACGUUAGAUGCAAGUUAUUCUCGCCACCAACCUUUCGUUAAUUAAUCAUACUAAUCUUGCAAUGGAUUCAAACAUUUCUACUUUAGUUUCUUCUGCGUUCGACAUUCUGGUGGAAUUUGUCACGCCGUAAUUACAAGAAAAAAGAAGAAAAAAAACGAUGACAUGAGUGAUAUGGGAGAGCAAUUUUUGGGUUAGCUAAGGCAGACAGAGAGAAGAAUAUUAUUGGGCUUAUAGUGGGCUCGUUUGGGCUUAUCUUACUUCAUAAUGUUCAUGAUAGGUUAAAUUAAAAAACCGAAUAGCCUAUAUUAUGAAUGAAUAUUCUCACACCCUAGCACAUUGUUAAUUGUCUUGUAUAUUCUUUUUUUUUUUUUCUUUUUUUUGCUAUGGAUAUAAAUAUCAUUAAGGGUCUAACUGGUUUAAACGCAGCGGUUGCGGUUGCGGUUGCGGGAGUUUGCAGAAGCGGGCGGUUGCGGUUUCAAGCGUUACCAAGCGUUUUGAACGACUGGUUUAGCGUUUGAAAAUGGAUGCGUUUUCGGGAGUUUUAUGACUGGUAAAUCAGCGGUUGCGGUAGCAGUUAAAUAAAAAAAUGACCAAAAAAAUAAAAAAAAUAUUACAAAAAAAGAAAUAAAAAUACUAAUAUAUUAUUAUGAUAAUAUUAGAAAAAUUGAACAUGCUUAAUAAUUGAAACCAUAAAUAAAGUACUAAAUAGUUAUUCAAAAUAAAGAAAUUUUGUAAUAAGAUAGUAUUUUAUACUGGGUUAACACCAAAAAUUGCAUCAAGUAAUGAGGCAAACUGUAAAUAACGUUGAAUUCAAUCAAAAAGCAAGUGAUUUUCUAUUCGAGAAAAUAAAUCGAAACAUAUAUUCAAUCAAAAAGCAAAGCAAUACAUAAUGAAAAAAAAAAAAAGAUGCUAAGAAAAAUAUUCAAAGAGUUACACAUGAGGUGAUGAAUGAAUAAAAUGAUAUAUGAUACUUACGUUUGGUUCUUGAUUUUCAUCAGUUUGAGUGGAAGACAUUGAGAAAAUAAAAUUUUAGAAUAUUGAUUAGGGUUUAUGAUGAGAACGUGAUACAAAGAUGAAAGAUACAUAUAUGAUAAAUAUAUUUUAUAAUAAUUAUAAGUAAAGGUUUGUUUGUUUGUUUUUUUUUUUUUUUAAAAUCCAACCGCUAUCGCCCGCAACCGCAAACGCUUGCGGGAAGGAACUUUUGAAAUUCAGCGAUUUCGAGCGGUUUAAAGCAGUAUGGAGCGGUUUCUAUGAUUGGUACCAACCGCUAACAACCGCAACCGACCGCUAGCAACCGCUAGGAGGGUGCUAGCGGAAAAACCAAUCAAGUCCUAAGAAAUGAAAAGUUUAGGUAUUAAAAAAGAUCAUUUUACCUAUAUAUUUGAGAUCUUGGCAAAAAAGAAUAAAAACAAAGUAACAAAUGAUUUGGGUACAAUAUGGGAGAGCUUACUAUAACUAUUCUUUUACUUAAAAAAAAAAAUAAUGUUUUCAUAUUUUUUUUUUCUUUAACAACUUUUCCAUUGAUACAGUCAUACAGACCCAACUAAAAAAAAGAAGACGAAUUACAAGGAGAAUUGGAGAAACAGACUUCCACAUUUGCCACCAUUUUUUUUUCAUAGUUUGUUUCAAAAGAGAGAGGUCCGGACUCUGGAGGCAUUAAUUAGUUGAUGAGGAGAAAGGCCAGCCACGAAAACCUCUUAGAGCAUCAUUAUAGAUAGUUUCUUAGAGAUAGAUCUUAGUAAUAUUUAAAUAAUUUAUUUGUAAAAGUGAUUAUUAAGAGAUAGUAUUUUUGAGUUAAGAUUUUUGUGUGAUUAAUAGUAGGCUCUUAACAUGUGGUUCUUAGAAAAACAAAUAUUAAUAUAAAAAUAAAAUUUAUAAUUAUAGAAAAUUUAAUAAUUGUUGCAAAUUAAAAAAAAUAAAACAUACAUGAGAUACAAUUCAUAACAUAAAUCACAAAUAUUUUAAACUUAAUUUCUUCUAUAUUUUGUCCAUAUAUGUUCGACCAAAUCAUUUUUCAAUUGUUGAUGCAUACCUCGAUCACGAACUCGAGCUCUAUUAUCGAAGAAAUUAGAAGGCGUAUCUGUAGAAUAUGUGAAAUCCGCUCAAUCAAAACGUGACACGUGACACCUCUUAGGUAUUAAAGUGAUUUAAAUUAAAUAGUUAGUACCUUAAUAAGCUAAGGAACGUUCCUUAGCUUAUUAAGGUAUUAACUAUUUAAUUUAAAUCAUUUUAAUACCUAAGAUUCAGCUAACAUCCCCCCUAUAAUGAUGUUCUUAGGACUGAAUAUGAUAAAGCCUAUAAAACAAAGAGCUACUAUCAUUUCUUCAUAGAUUGAGAUCUUCUUGGAACUUAAUGCUAUCUUUCAAAACGUCUCAAAUACCUUAGUACAUCUCUAAUGAUUACGAUCAUUUUUUCAUUCUAAACGAUUACACUAAAAUGAGUUUUUCAAAAAUAAUAAUAUUUCAAGUAUAUUCUCACUUACUAUUUUUUUUUAAUUUUUAAAAACACCAUUUAAUUUUUAAUAGUCCCAUAUAUUGAGAAAAAAGAAACAUAAAAAAAUUAGGGAAAUUAUUUUCCAAUGGUACAUCAUUUUGAAAAGAAAAGGAUUAGUUUGAUGUAUUAAUUUAAUAUUCACAAUUUUACUUUUUCCUAGAAAAUGAUGUAAGUAAAAAAAAAAUCCUCAUUUUUUAAAUAUUUCCUCUCAAAAUAAGGGACCAAAAGACAUGGUUUUAAUUGUUAGAUCAUGCAAACCACAAAAAUUAUAAUUUCCUAGGCUCCUAGCUACUUGAACAAAUUGAAUCGUUGUUAAAUUGUUUAUUCAUUAAUUUAUUUUGACCAUGAUUUGAGUAAUUGGCUCAUCGCGUUGGUACUUAAUCGGGUGAUAAAUUGAUAAUGAUACGAUGAAAGACAAUCUCACUUCAAUUACGCAGAAAAUGGACAACGAUCAAUAGAAACAGAGUCACAUGCAGUCAUAUAAUACCACAGAGGCUGGUCCCAUGCGAUAUAAAUAGAUUACAACAAACACUCGUGUAGAGGCACGUGUUCUAUUUGUUCGUGUCUAGGUUCAACGUAUCUGGCAACCAUAAUAAUAAUAAUAACAACAACAAAAAAUUGGUUUUUUAGUAAUUUGCAAAAUGGUCUUGUAUAUUUUAACUGGUUUGUGAAUUGUGAAUCAAUUUUAACACUACAUGAAUAUCGGGUUUUAAUAGCACUAUACAAUAGCGUUUGUAGUCAUUCUGCUAUUGUUAGAGGACCUCUGAACUUUCAAUAGCGUUUCUACCUUGUUGAAACGCUAUGGAUAGUAUUUCACAAUUUUUACUAUGACGCGGAAGUAUAUUUAAUAGCAUUACCAUAUUAAAACGCUAUUGAAAAGGUUGGGCGCUAAAAAUUUCCCAUUCCCGCUACUACACUUAGAAAUAUUUUUGGGCAUAGUUUCUUUUUCCCCUUAGCUCAUCUUUGUCGACUUUACUCUUCAAUUUUUAGGGUUUCCUCUUUCUCUCCUCUUUGCUAUCUCCGACAGACACAAAACACAAAUUUCCGAAAAAUUUCAACCUCUUUGCUCUCUCCGCAUCUUCCUUAGGUUCUCCCAUCUUCCUUGUAUGCUCGAUCUGUUUGGGAAUCCCACUAAAUCGAAGGUAAAUCCCACUUAAUCACAAAUUUGUUCUUGAUUUGUAGAGAGAGAGCUGCGAGAUGACGAUUUGGGUUUGGGUUUGGUCGAUUUAGGAAUUUGAGGAUUUAGAAUUUGGGGAUUUAGGGAUUUGAGGAUUUAGGUAGAAUCGCUUACACAUUUGAGACUGUAUCUACAUGUUCUUUGAACUGCUUUGAGCUGCUUUGUGUAUCUUUCACAUCUUCCUUGUUAACUUGAGUCCUAACAAUUUGAAACUAGAUCUGGUCUGACAUUUACUUCAAUGUGCAGGUCGUAGUCGAACCAGUAUCCAAACACAUCACUUGUCCAGAUUGAAGGAGUCAACACCCAAGAGAAGGUAAACAGAGCCAAAUCAAAGACUAAUAAUGAAAUCGAUUUCUUUUAAUUUUUGUUGGAUUAGUAGAUUUAUUGAUUUGAGUUUAAUUGAUUUCUAUUUUUGCUUUUUCUGUUGUAGUUCGAGUUAAUCAGAAGAGAACAAACUCUAUCAGGUAUAUGAUUCUUCUAUCAGAUUACUUGUAUUGUUGUUUUGGCUUUGAAAGUGACUGCCUCUGAAAAUUACUUGUAUGCACAUUUGGUCGGAGCUCUUGUGAAAUGGAUAAAGCUUGGGUUUGGUUGCCAAGGUAUUAACUUGUUCUUACAUAUAUGCAUUGAUUUCAUUUUAUGAUUGACUGUUCUCAGUUUGUAAUGGGUACUAUUUGUUAACUUGUAGGAAUAACCUUGAGUAUGAAACAGGAGCAACUAAGUUUGUGGUUGAAUCAGCAAGUAAUUUGGGUAAUCCAUCAGAAAUGUUCUGAAAUUCAAGUAAUAUCUGAUGCAGUAGGAAACUGGGUGGCUUGGCCUAACAAGCAUAUUGUAUUCAUGUGAGCAUAAGUUUGUGUCAAAAAACAUUGUUCUAUCUCAUGGUGUAGUACUACUCUUUGUAUGAUCUUUUAAAAUGACAGGUUUUAAAUCCAGUUUUAAUUUUAAGUUUAAUUUAAAGUCUUCAUAAUUUAAAUAUUAUGAAGUACUAAUAUUAUAUAUAAUUACAAUAUUAUAUAUAAUAUUAAAAACAACAAAUAUCAAUUUUUCUAAAUGCUUAACUUUUUAAUAACACACAAAAAACGCUAUUAUAUAAUUUAUAAUAGCAGAAAAGAAAACGCUAUGUUAUAUAAGCAUUUAUAGCAUUACAGAAAAACGCUAUCUAAAGUCACUUACCUAUUAUAGCGGGCGUAUAUACAGCGCUUUCAAAAACGCUAUUAUAUCUUUAGACAGCGUUUUUCAGACGCUUUUAAUACCCGAUAUUCCUGUAGUGUAAUUGGAGUAUUAAAUAGGGUAAUAUUAGUCGAUAGCCAAAUUAGACACAUAAAUUAAGAAACUAGCAGAAAAAAGGUUUUUCUCGGAAAACAGCGAUGGACCCACGUUGUCAGAGGAUGUGAAAUAACAAAACUAUCCUCCGUUUGUUUUGAGAUCAACAGUAGGCAAGAUUGUUUCGUGAUAUUUUUCAAAAUAGCACGUAAGAUCUAAAUUUCACAUAUUAUAUUUAACUAAAAGACAUGAUAUUUCAAAAAACGUAGUGAAUUUUUAAGAAAAAACAUUUUUAUGUAGUGUUUUUUUUUUUUAAAAAACAUUGUUAUAGAAAAAUUAAACUUGAAUAGAAUUUUUUUUUAAAGAAAUAACAUGUAAUCUUAAUAAAAACCGUGAAUUACUAUAAAAUAAGAAUGUUUUUUAAAGAAAUCACAUGUGAUAAUAAUAAAAAACAUGUAUUACUACAAAAUAACAUGAUAGAGAGAUAUUAAACUGAAUAGAGUGUUUUUUUCAAGAAAUACCAUGUGCUCUUUAUAAAUAACGUGUAAUACGACAAAAUCUAUAUUAUUAAUUGGGAAGCAUUGGAUAAUAAAUAACCUUAUAAAGGGUAAAAAAUUACAAAAAAUGCCAUUGGUUUUUAAUGUUUUUAAAUAACUUCAUUAAGGGUACAAUAGUAAUCACAAAAUUAAUAUAUUUAAAUAAAAAAUAGUUUAAUUCUUUUAAAUACUUAUUAAUUUCCAAAAAAUAAACUAAUUUUCUCUCUCUUAUUAAUUAUAAACGAAAAUUUGAAAUUAAUUUUUUAAAAUUGUUAACCAAUAGGAAUUGAAAAACUAAGAUUUGAUAUCCAACUAAGAUUUUUUCUAAACCAAUCCUAAUAGACUAUUCUAUAUCAAAAAUAAAAAUAAAAAUAAUAUCAUUUUAAUUCAAAAUUAAAAAAAAACUAUCAUUUAAAAAGAUUUAUCAAUGGAGGAUUUUAAGAUUGAAUUUGAAAUUUGGUAAAAAAAUUAAAUGCAAAUAUUUUAAUAUUCAGUUUUGUUAUAAUAUUUUUAUUACAAAUUUUGAAAUAUAAAACGAAAUUUUAUUUCAUAAUUUCUAAAAAACCAUAUUAAAUAUUAACAAAUAUUUAUUUUUACUAUGAAAUAAACUCAAAUAAUAAUAAAUUUUAAGUAAUUAUCAUAAUGGUUUUCGUUUAGAGCAAUUUUCGAAAAAAUCUAAACAAUAGAAUGUACAUAUUAAUUUUGAAAUAUUUUGUGUUUUAUUUUUUUCUUUUCAACUCAGAUCUUCCUUAAAUAAUAACUAGAUGCAAAUAUUAUUUAAGGAAGAUUUUAAGAUUGAAUUUGAAAUUUGGUAAAAAAAUUAAAUGCAAAUAUUUUAAUAUUCAGUUUUGUUAUAAUAUUUUUAUUACAAAUUUUGAAAUAUAAAACGAAAUUUUAUUUCAUAAUUUCUAAAAAACCAUAUUAAAUAUUAACAAAUAUUUAUUUUUACUAUGAAAUAAACUCAAAUAAUAAUAAAUUUUAAGUAAUUAUCAUAAUGGUUUUCGUUUAGAGCAAUUUUUGAAAAAAUCUAAACAAUAGAAUGUACAUAUUAAUUUUGAAAUAUUUUGUGUUUUAUUUUUUUCUUUUCAACUCAGAUCUUCCUUAAAUAAAUCCAUAAUAUAUUGCACACAGUUUUUGAAAUUAUGUAAACUAAUUAUAUAUUUUGCAUUCAACACAAAUUAUGCAGCAAUAGCAUAUCCCUUUUAUAGAUGUAUCUAAAACUUUUAUUUUUAGUCCAAAUAUUGAACUAAUUAUGAUUAAACAAUGAAAAGAAGAAUAUGCAAAAUUUAGCUAAGGAAAGAAACAUUAAUAAAUUUGUUAAAAUAUUUGAAACUUUAACAUCAUACAUAUUAAUCCGCAAAACUCACAGUAUGUAUUUUAUGGUAUUUUAAAGUAAGCAAACAAGAAUUUGGAACAUGGUUUUAAUGGAAUGAAAUGAGAAUAAGAAUUACGAGACGGGAUGGCAGGGGAACAUAAAUUAAAAAUCAAACUUAAUACUCAACUGGUAUGAGUUUGUGUUAUGAGCACUAUAUAAAAUAAAUUUGUUUACACACAUAUUAUACGUACGUUUUUAGUUACAAUUUAUGACAGAUACGGGACCGUAAUAUUUUUAUUUCACGUAUACGAGACGGGUUAUGGGACGAAAAAUUUAUGACAUAUACAAGACGGGAUAGGUUUCCUGUUCCAAAAUUGUUACGCCUAGCUAAUAUACAUGAAAUAAUCCAAACUAAACCGAAUAUGUAUCCUAUUUAACACAUGUAAUCAAACUGUUAGAAAUGUUUUGAAUAGUUUAGAAAAUAAAAACGUAACAUCACUUAACUUUUGCAACUAAAUAAUAUCUUAAUUUUAUAUUAAAUACAAUUUCACACGUACGUGUAGGUCCGAAUCUUAAAAUUUAACUAUGCACUAACGCAACUAAAUUUCGUUCAUUGCUCUAACUUUAUAAUAUCUAUAUUAUUACAAAGUUCACUAACACAACAAAAUAUUUUAUAUUUUUAAAAUCUAUAUAACAAUUUCUAAAAAAAAUAUCUCUGCACGUACAUGUGGAUCUAAAUCUAAUACACUAAAAUAUACAUCAUAAAAACAAUAAAAUAAUCUAUAUUGUAUGAAAAUUUGUAAGAAAUGUUUUUGAAAUAUGAAACUCCGCACGUACGUGCGGGUCAGGAUCUAGUAAUAUGAUAAAAGAGAUAUAUUAUUCUAUCACUUAUAAUUCGAGAAAAAAGCAUGUUAUAAAGGGCAUGUACGUAAUUACAUGUGCUUCCCGACAUGAUACCGACAAAUUACUGUAGCGUAUGACUAUUUUCUUAAUUAUCCUCAAAAAUUUGGCUAUUUUGUGCAUAUUUCCUAUUAAAUAACAUUAGAUUUUAAAUAAUAUUUAGAAAUCACUAAACGAAUACCAUUUCAUUUUGACCAACAAUUUAUUUUUUAAUGCAUAUUACGAUGUCAUCAAAAUUUUAAAAUUCUUUAUAUGUUGAUUGAUUUAAGUUCGAUUUAAAAAUUUAAAUCAUAUCAAGAAUAAAUAUAAAAUAAUUACAGUAUUCAUAUAUUAAAUAUAUAUAUAUAUAUAUAUGCAUAUAUUAUGAUUCAAAUUUUUGAAAAGGACAUAAAUUACUCAACAUAUAACAUAAAUAGCGUAUAAAAUUCACACACGUGCAGCUUUGAAAAUUAGUGGUGAUAAUUAAGAGUAUGAUAUUUUAUGUGAUGCAAAGGGUGGUAUUUAUAGUGAAGUGAAGUUAGUUUACUGUGUGGUCUCGUCUUAUGACGAUAAUAUGGGCAACGAGGAGAUAACUCAGAUAAUAAGUGUACGUGAAUGGCUUCGAGUGAUGCAAAUGCUUUCUGGCCCCAUUAUGUUUUAUAACCGAAGAGAUAUUUCACUUACACCACUCGUUUCUUGAGCACGUUGUGACCGUGCUAAAUUUAGAAUUCGGCGUUUUGUUGUUUCAUUUUUAUUAUUAUCGUAGGCUUUUAUUCUUGUGAAUUUUGAACCAGAGUUUCGGUUUACAGAAUACUAAUUCUGUGAAGCUGUUCCACAUUAUUAGCAAAAAAAAUGUUUGUGCCUAUGAUGGACUUGGGUAAUACUUGUGUUGGCGGGAAUACUUUCUUGUAUAAUUGGCAUAUAUAACAAUGAACUACGAGGUAUUGAAAAAAUACGCAUUUGAACCUAAAUAUUUUUAGAAGACGAGUUUAUGUUUUAUAUAAGUGUCAUUUGAUCUUUUUUCUCGUAACAACUUAUUUUUAAUAUAAUAUUAGAGUUUAGUAUUUCGGUGUUAUAUACGACGUUAAGUAAUAAAUUAAAUAUUUACAUAAAAAGUAAUAUGUUACGAAAAAGUAACCAUGUUAUGAAGAAAAAGUAAUAUGUUACGAAAAAGUAACCAUAUUUCCAUAAAACUUAAACAAAACCACAAUCCAAAAAAAAUAUUCAUUAUUUAAUGGCAAUAAUUUAAAUAACUAUAUUUUUUUUUGGUUGGAUAUUUUUUUGUACCAUAUUUACUUUUUGUCGGAUUAUAAAUAUACUUUUCGUGUGCUGAUGAAACCAAAUUAUUUUGCAACAUUAACGAGUGAUUAUACAGUACAAUAAUUAAACGUGUCUUACAACAUGAAGACACAUAUUAAACUUUAAUCUACGAGAUUGUGACAUUCUGCUAUAUAUAUCAUAAACAUAUUUUACAUCUCAUAAUGUAAAACUAUAGCAAUAUUUUUGUUCCAAAUUUUUCAAAAUUCAUUUUUACUUUUAUUUAACUAAUAAGUGCUAAAUUAGUUUCCAAUACAUUCAAUUUUUUUUUUUAUUAACUUCAAAUUGUUACGUAUCAUUUCAUUUCAUGGCCACUUGAUUAAUUAUCCCUAUAAAGAAAAACAACAUUUAGUACGAAGUCUUUGUUCUUAUUAAGUUACGAUAGGAUAGACAUUUUAUUUAUGCAGCGGUGCCUAAACGGCUACAAACAUAAACGGAAAGACAUAGAUAUGCAGUGGAUACAAGGGGACAAAGACAUGAUGAUAGAUGCUUAAGAAGGUACGUAGUAGAGUGGAUUUGGGAGCUUAAAGACCCUUCCAGGAGUAUCCUCAACCAAAUCAGCCCAUUGGUCUCCAAUAUUCCCAACGAUGUUGUAUCCUUUCUUCACCAGGCUCUUCCUCACCUUUGACUUGUACACCACUUCCGGCAAUUUCGAAUGGUUUGGCCUGCGUUGCCAUAUUUAAUUAAUCCUCGAUUAAAUUGCAUAUACAUCAUACUUACUUACUGUAUAUUAUUAAGCUUACUUGAAUAUAAGAUGCUUCCAUUUUGUCACACCAGCAGCCUUGAGAUUAUCGAGAGUGACUUCUGACAACCUCUUCCAUCGGUCAGAGAUUAUGAUGGGUUCAAUCCCGAGUUCUAAGAGGUUCCUGUAUAGAUGCAAAGUCUCCGGGAGUCCUGGAGUUGAUUCUCCGGACCUUAACCACGACCAGUACGCCCCCGGGGCUGUGUUCUGUGUCCUAAGAAUCCCAAAAAAAAAAAAAAACAAAUCUACUUUAAAAUGAAAUCACAAAGUAGAUAUGGACUACAAAAGAAAAACAGUUUGUAUCAAACUAUUUAGAUUUGUCAAAUGAAACGUGUUUUUCCAUAUAUAUAUGACAUUUUCAAAUGAAGAUAAUAUUGUUAAUGCAAUGGAGAUGGUGUAGGUAGAACUAAUAACAAUAAUAUGUAUACCCGUAUCCAUAUUUGGCGUAGUAGGGGAUACUAGAGAGGAGAGUGUCGUCUAUGUCAAAUAUCCAAACAUUGACGGUAUCGUUCUUUAGGGCAAGUCCUUUGGCAUAGAAAUAAGCCUCUUUGCACACCGUUUUGGAGUCAGAUUGAUAUUGUUUGGAAGUGAUCAAGUAGUCUUCAACAUAGUCUUUGCAAUUUGCGGGCACGGUGUCGAAGUCUAUGAUGUUAGAGGUCUCAACACCAAGGUGCCAGCUUCUACAGUUGUGGUAGUUGAUGGAAAGUCCCUCUUUCUCUAAGAGUUCGGCUUCGUCCCCAAAGAUGGUGUUCGAUUCGAGGAGUUCGAUGAGCCCUGGAACGGAAGCCGAAGACCGGACGUGGGAGACCGUAGCUGCCAAGAGAAAGAGAAGUGAAAGUGAGAGGAUUUUCAUGUUUUUUUUUUUGUGGUAUGGUUUAUUGUUUAGUUUGUGAUGUUUAUUUGUGGGACACAAAGGGUGGUAUUUAUAAUGAUGUAGGGUUAGGUAUGGUUACUUAUGACGACAGAUGGGAGAUGAGGCGAUAAGUGUAUGUGUAUUUGGAUUGGUGCAACAAAUGCUACUGGUCCCAUAAUGUUUAUAAUUGACAAUAUUUUUCACUUACACCACUCGUUUUUAGAGCACGUUGAGACUGUGUGCUAAACUAGAAUUUGGCGUUUUGUUGUUUUAUUUUUAAUAUUAUCUUUGGCUUUUGUGCUUGUAAAUUUUGAAUUAGAGUCUCGUUUUAGAGAUCUUACUGUGAAGUUUUUCUACAUUACUAGAAAAAUGUGUGUGAAUAUGUCGAUGUGAGUAAACUUUUUUUUUGGAUAAUUGAUAGAGUAAACUUUUUUUUUUUUGAUAAAUAAUUGAUAGAGUAAUUGGCAAAACCAAUAAUGCAAAACGUGAUAUUCAAUAAACGAGUAAUUGGCAGCAGCCUCCCAGUGAGCAACAAGAGAUAGAUGUGUACUGUGUAGGUUGAAUCAUACGAGAUGAAAUAUGUCGAUAAGAUAAGAAAUGUGAGGUAUACACGUAUAGACGUUUUUUUUUUUUUCUUUUGUCAACAUCUUUUAAUUAAAAUUUAAAAGAAUCAUUCAUGAAGAAUGUUGUUUACAUAAGUAAUAUGAUGCGGUUUGGUAUGAAUUUUUCGUGCCAAAUUAUCCGCUUUUACAUUUGCACUACGAGGGAUUAAAAAUAAAGAGAAGCUUGAAAAUUCUUUCUUGUCGCUCUUGAAAUCUUCCAAAUACACUGCGAAUGCCGGCCAUUCGAUUGGGAAGGACACCAUCUUCACCAGGUCUGAACAGUCUGUAUAAAAAGCUACAUCUUGGGUGUAGUAUCCAAUCAUACACUUCAUUGCCCAGAAAAGAGCUUCCACUUUGGUAUGUAGAGGUGAGAGACUUCUUCGGAUAUUGGCUGCUCCCAUGGUUGGCGUCUCUCCGUUUGGUGAUGUGCAGAACCACCCUGUUCCUGAAUAUUUAUCAGUUUCUUUUCAUGAUCCAUGACAAGUAUAGACGUUAAAUAUUACACCUUUCGUUUUUAUUUAUUUCAUAUUUGGAGAGAAAAAAAAAUCUAUAUAUAAUAGCAAUCUCAAUAAAUGUCUUUUGCAGUUUUGAACGGUUGUGUAUUUUUAUCGCAACUUUCGGCUAAAAUAUUGACGGUUAUUUUUUUUCGAUUGUAUUUUUUUAUCGCAACUCUCGUUAAAAUAUUGACAGUUACUUUUUUUUGUUGACGGUUAUUUUUUCGGUUGUGUCUUCUUAUCGCAAUUUUCCGUUAAAAUAUUGUCGGUAACUUUUUUCAUUUGUGUCUUUUUAUCGCAACUUUCCGUUAAAAUAUUGACGGAUAUUUUUUCUAAGUUGUGUCUUUUUUUAUCGCAUCUUUUCGUUAAAAAAUUGACGGUUAUUUUUCUGGGACAGUUCUAUUUGUUCAAUUAUAAUCAUAUUUUUUUUCAGUUUACGGUUGUGUCUUUAUAGUUGCAUCUAUUCAUUUAAAGUUACGUCUCUUCAAUAUAUUUCAUUGCAUUUUUUCGUCACAACUUUUUGUAUGAAUAGUUGUCUAUUUAAAUGUUCGUGACUUUUGAACUCUAUAUAUUUGUCUUUCUUCUUAAGUAGUUCCCGAAUUUUUGUUCUUUAAAAUAUAUUAUUUGUUUCAUGAUAAAAAAAAAUCUAUAAAAUAGCUUCAAAUUCUUUAUUCUCUAAGCUAUUUUUAAACAUAUAUCAUUUUAAUAUUAAUAAAUUCUUCUCAAGAAGAAUGAUUAUUAAAAUGGAGAAGUUUUAAUCAACUUUAAAUGUAAAAUUCAAAUGAAGAUACCAACAAUAUUUUUCUUAGAAUUGGACGGAUUAUACAGUAAUUUUUUAUUUAACUAUUUUAUAUGGUAACAAUGAUGCUUUCUGAUAUAUCACGGAUUUUACCGAUUUUUAACCGUGAUUUACGUGUCAGUUUUAGAGUUUUUUUGUUGUUUCUAGUGUCUUUUCAAGUCUUUUCAGGUUUUUGCAAGUUCGGGACAAAAUUGGAGGAAAUGAAUCAUUUUGGAGCUAAACAGAAUAUUUGGAGCUGAAGAGACGAAUUCGGAUUCGAACCAAGGCAUUGGUGUCGACCGACACCAUACGCGGUCCAGCAAGAAAUCUCGACGGUUUAGAGUAAUAAAGCCCGCAGAAUUUACCCAUAAGACUUCCCUAUUUGCAAUUUUAGUCCCUGCACGUUUUUGAGACUUUAUAAAUAAUUUUUAAGGUUUUCUAUUUGAUUAUCUUGUCUUUGGCUUUUGUAAUUCUCUGAGCUUGAACCCUUUGGAAGAUAAUUGGAGAGAGCAACUUUUCAGAGAUUUUAUACCUUGUUAGAGAGAAGAUUUAUUCUAAACUCUUUUCUUCUUUUAAUUUCUUAACUAGAUCCUGACCCGCACGUACGUGCGGGGUUUCAUAUUUCAAAAACAUUUCUUACAAAUUUUCAUAUAAUAUAGAUUAUUUUAUUGUUUUUAUGAUGUAUAUUUUAGUGUAUUAGAUCUAGAUCCACAUGUACGUGUAGAGAUAUUUUUUUUAGAAAUUUUUAUAUAGAUUUUAAAAAUAUAAAAUAUUUUGAUGUGUUAGUGAACUUUGUAAUAAUAUAGAUAUUAUAAAGUUAGAAUAAUGAACGAAAUUUAGUUGCGUUAGUGCAUAGUUAUAUUUUAAGAUUCGGACCUACACGUACGUGUGAAAUUGUAUUUAAUAUAAAAUUAAGAUAUUAUUUAGUUGCAAAAGUUAAGUGAUGUUACGUUUUUAUUUUCUAAACUAUUCAAAAUAUUUCUAACAGUUUGAUUACAUGUGUUAAAUAGGAUACAUAUUCGGUUUAGUUUGGAUUAUUUCAUGUAUAUUAGCUAGGCGUAACUAUUUUGGAACAGGAAACCUAUCCCGUCUUGUAUAUUUCAUAAAUUUUUCGUCUCAUAACCCGUCUCGUAUACGUGAAAUAAAAAUAUUAUGGUCUCGUAUCUGUCAUAAAUUGUAACUAAAAACGUACGUAUAAGGUUAUGUGUGUAAACAAAUUUAUUUUAUAUAGUGCUCAUAACACAAACUCAUACCAGUUGAGCAUUAAGUUUGAUUUUUAAUUUAUGUUCUCCUGCCAUCCCGUCUCGUAAUUCUUAUUCUCAUUUCAUUCCAUUAAAACCAUGUUCCAAAUUCUUGUUUGCUUACUUUAAAAUACCAUAAAAUACAUACUGUGAGUUUUGCGGAUUAGUAUGUAUGAUGUUAAAGUUACAAAUAUUUUAACAAAUUUAUUAAUGUUUCUUUCCUAGCUAAAUUUUGCAUAUUCUUCUUUUAAUUGUUUAAUCAUAAUUAGUUCAAUAUUUGGACUAAAAAUAAAAGUUUUAGAUACAUCUAUAAAAGGGAUAUGCUAUUGCUGCAUAAUUUGUGUUGAAUGCAAAAUAUAUAAUUAGUUUACAUAAUUUCAAAAACCGUGUGCAAUAUAUUAUGGAUUUAUUUAAGGAAGAUCUGAGUUGAAAAGAAAAAAAUAAAACACAAAAUAUUUUAAAAUUAAUAUGUACAUUCUAUUGUUUAGAUUUUUUCAAAAAUUGCUCUAAACGAAAACCAUUAUGAUAAUUACUUAAAAUUUAUUAUUAUUUGAGUUUAUUUCAUAGUAAAAAUAAAUAUUUGUUAAUAUUUAAUAUGGUUUUUUAGAAAUUAUGAAAUAAAAUUUCGUUUUAUAUUUCAAAAUUUGUAAUAAAAAUAUUAUAACAAAACUGAAUAUUAAAAUAUUUUCAUUUAAUUUUUUUACCAAAUUUUAAAUUCAGUCUUAAAAUCUUCCUUAAAUAAUAUUUGCAUCUAGUUAUUAUUUAAGGAAGAUCUGAGUUGAAAAGAAAAAAAUAAAACACAAAAUAUUUCAAAAUUAAUAUGUACAUUAUAUUGUUUAGAUUUUUUCGAAAAUUGCUCUAAACGAAAACCAUUAUGAUAAUUACUUAAAAUUUAUUAUUAUUUGAGUUUAUUUCAUAGUAAAAAUAAAUAUUUGUUAAUAUUUAAUAUGGUUUUUUAGAAAUUAUGAAAUAAAAUUUCGUUUUAUAUUUCAAAAUUUGUAAUAAAAAUAUUAUAACAAAACUGAAUAUUAAAAUAUUUGCAUUUAAUUUUUUUACCAAAUUUCAAAUUCAAUCUUAAAAUCCUCCAUUGAUAAAUCUUUUUAAAUGAUAGUUUUUUUUAAUUUUGAAUUAAAAUGAUAUUAUUUUUAUUUGUAUUUUUGAUAUAGAAUAGUCUAUUAGGAUUGGUUUAGAAAAAAUCUUAGUUGGAUAUCAAAUCUUAGUUUUUCAAUUCCUAUUGGUUAACAAUUUUUAAAAAAAUUAAUUUCAAAUUUUCGUUUAUAAUUAAUAAGAGAGAGAAAAUUAGUUUAUUUUUUUGGAAAUUAAUAAGUAUUUAAAAGAAUUAAACUAUUUUUUAUUUAAAUAUAUUAAUUUUGUGAUUACUAUUGUACCCUUAAUGAAGUUAUUUAAAAACACUAAAAACCAAUGACAUUUUUUGUAAUUCUUUACCUUUUAUAAGGUUAUUUAUUAUCCAAUGCUUCCCAAUUAAUAAUAUAGAUUUGCAAUUUAUUCAACAUGUUUUCUGUUUCAUUAAUCAUGUCUGAGUAAUCACCCUAUUAGGUUUAGGGAUUCUCACUAAGGAUUUAGAUGAACUAGUAAAUCGAUUAACUGUUAGGAAUCCAUAGAGUUCUUCAUCUAGGUUGUUAUUAAUGCUUGUUCGAGAGUAGCUGAUCGUAGGAUAAUAGGUAUUUGAUCCGAGAGGGCACAUGUUACUGGAACUACUUUAGAUGAGCCUAGUUUAUAGGUGUGUAAUAAGAAUCGGCCUAUCUACUAAGGUGAACAUAUCAAACCUGAAUUUAAUGCUAGUCUAGACCUAGGAAUUCGCAUCGAGAGGUGGAAUUUCUGGUAUUAGGCUUGUUAGUUAUCGCAUCGAGAGGUGGUUAGCUAUUCAUUAGUGAUUUGAGUUCAAGAACGGUUCAUUAAAUAAUCCUAAUUAAUUUGCUAGAUUUAUUACUAGUUUAUUUCCUGAGAAUUUCUCUAAACCUGAAACUUUAAUCUAUUGAUCUUUUCACCUGAAAUCAUUGUUUGCUAUUGUUUUAUUUUAAUUUUAAUAAUUUUAUUUAGCCUAAUUUCGAGACUUAUAACUUAUUGUGUGAACAAAAGAACUUUGUGGAUCGACCCUUAAGUGCUGCAAUCGACCUCUUAAUAUGAGAGAGUAGGCUUUAAGAUUAAUUUGACCUGUAUCACUUUAUUCUAUCUUAAGGCAAUAUAUAUGGGUUGUAUAUAUACAACGAAAUAUUGAUGCUAAGUUAGCACUAUUACAAAGUCCGAAUAUGAGAAGACAUCCUCAUGUGACGCUUGUGAUUUGGCGCUUUAAAUGUGGUAAGCGUCAAAUAAACCAUUUUAAAUGGUAUAUAUAGUAAUCCAGAAAUCAUCUCCAUUACUAGGAAUAUUCGAGGAAUAAGUUUUUUUACUUAGUUAUUUAUGAGAUCUUGUAAAUAUUUAUUUGUUUGUUAUAGAUAUAAUUUACGUCAUCCAAUUUUAUAUUUUCUCGAAUAUUAUCAUAAAAUAAAUAUUAAUUUCUUAUUUAAAAAAAGUAAGCAAACAAAAAAAUACUAAUUCUCGGACGAAGUUCUUAGUCACCCACAAGUCGUGCUAUGUACCGACUCCAUCCAAAUUUUUGGAUUUCACCCUCUAGAAUUUUUCAUUUCUAUAUUAUAACUCUUCGUUAUGUAUUUUGUCACUUAUAAAUAAUUUUACAUUCAUAUAAAUUAUUUCAUAAGUGUUUUUAUAAUUAUUUUUUUUAUAUUUUUAUUCAUAAAUUGUUUUAACAUCUUUGGAAAAUAUUUACGAUAUAACUUUAAAACAUAGCUAAUUUUAUGUAAUAAUUUAAAUUUUGAAUAUGUUAUCAUAAUAAUUUAAUACAUAAAUACAAUCAAAUAUAUUUUUUGAAAAUGAGUUCUCCCACGACAUCGCGGUAAUUCAUACCUAGUUAUUUUAAUAAAAUAGAUAAUAUUUUCAAUUUCUAUAAUACAAAAUUAGUUAUUUUUUUCUGGGUUAUGAUGAUUUAUAUUUUGUAAAUUUUAUUAUAGAUCGAAUCGUGUUUAGAUAGAUAAUAAAUAACUUUUAGGUUAAAAAUAAACAAAAUUUAAAUGUUUUUUUUAACGGUGUACAAAAACUUUAAACAUCAAAUAUAAAAAAUUGGAGAAAUCAGUAACUUAAAUCGUAAUAAAAAAUAAGUCAAUAAUUAGCAAACAUACCUAUAUAGUUGUAUCACUAUUCACUAGUUCUCGAUAAAGAUUUGAAUAAUAAUUUUCGUGCCCGUGAUUAGGAACACUCUUUGUCAGCAAGAUUUCCCACAAAAAGUUGUAUCUUGGUGAUAGCUAUAGUUUCAACGAUGAUUGUGCUUUCCAACAAUAUAUAUAUAUAUAUAUUUAAUGCAUACCACCUCGUGACGAUAUAUUUUAAAUUAGUUUAAUAGAAAUUAUAUUUUAUAUAUUAACGAACAGUUUUGCAAAUUAAAGUUCUGAUUGGUAAAGUUUUUUAAGAGUUAGUUGGAACGGUAAACUGUUAAGGAAUAAUGCAAAAAUGUUAAAAAAAAUAUUACAAAAAAACUGUACAGAAAAUAAAGGUUUUUUUGAGGUUUUGAUAUUAUUCUUGUGAUUAGUACCACUUGUAGUACUCUCUUUUUGUUCACCAAUCAAAGCCUAACUUGUAGUGGAAUAGUAGUUUCCGCAUGAAAUAUAGUAUCUUUAUUUCGAUUUAGGUCAUAGAACGUAAAUAAAUGGUGAGAUAUAUUCAUGGAAAAAGAUAAUUUAUACUGUAUGCAUGAUUAACGAGAUUGGUAUAAUAUUGUGUUAACACAUGUAACACGCAGUCCUACAGUAAGAAAACUUUAAUCGAUGUGGUAAUUAAACAUAAGAAUUGAGAUUUUGUUCAUAUACUUAUAUAUAGUUGAAUUUUUCUUUCUUUAAUAAAUAAAAAUUGGAAGAACCAUUAACCAUCUGACAUUGGAUAUAGAAAUGACUCUUUCUGAUGCAAAAUAACUAAACCAGAGGAACCAAACAUUCAUAACAAAGCACAUAGGAUAUUAAAUUGGCCAGAACGGCGAGUUGCAAUAUGAAAGAAGAGAUGAUAUCUUGUCAUAAAGUCAAACAUGGAUUAUGAAAGACUUAGCCAUACAACAUGAAGGUUAUUCUGAAAUACCGGGAAGGAUAUUGAUGAAUGAUGAACUUUUAUAAUAAGUGGAUUGCGUAUUUUUUGAAAAAGUAUUUUGACCAUUUUCAAGCACUGGGUUACACGAUAAUGGUACCAUUAUUCAUAAACCGCAAAAUCAAAAAUGUAAAUAACCCUAACAAAAUUCCAAAUAGAACAUCCCUGAUUUUUAUAGCAACUAUACACUUAAUACGAGGACCUUUUAUUUAUUGAGUUGUGAUAAGAUGGACACUUUAUUUGAGCAGUGGCACAUAUGAGGUGAUGCAUGUAUGGGAACAAAUUAAAGACGUGAAAGUGUACGACAAGAUGCUUAAUUAGAUCUUGCAGUAGAGUGGAUUAGGGAGCUUUAAAGUCCUUCUACCAGGACUUUCCUUUAUCAAAUCAGCCCAUUGGUCUCCAAUAUUCCCAAUGAUAGUGUGGCCACUCCUCUCUAGCUUCUUCCUCUCUUCUGACUUGAAGCUCGAUACCUUCUUGUUUGAGCCUGUUGGCCUGUGUUUACACAUAUACAUAUAUCUUUCGAUUCAGUCACACAUAUGAUUAAGCUACUUUAACUAAUAUUUUUAAUUAUUAUAUAUGAUUAAACCUACUUUGAUUAUUCUUAUUUGAAAAUGACAUGCCUCCAAUAGGUGAAUCCAGCAGCUUUGAGAUUCUUUAGAGUGAUUUCCUCCAAAUCUUGGAAUCGUUCAGUAAGUAAGACAGGGCGAAUCCCGAUUUCAGGGAUGUUUUGGUAAAGAUGCAAGGUCUCUGGGAGCCCGGGAGCUUCUCCGACCACCAACCACUUCUUGAAUGUCUCCGGGUUGUGCUUCUCUGUUCUAAAAAACCAAACAAACAAAAUAUAGUUUCAAUACAAUAAAUCGAAAUUAUGUUGACAUCUAAAUAUUUUAAAAUAUACGGAAAUGAUAUUUACAAGAAAUCAUAUUAGAAUUUCAUUAAAAAUUAGACACUGUGUGAAUACAAACUAUGGUGGUUAGGCAUAAUUAAUAAUACAAUAUGUAUACCUGUAUCCAUAUUUGGCGUAAAAGGGAACAUUAGAGAGGAGGGUCUCGUCUAGGUCAAAGAUCCAAACAUUGUAGGUGUCGUUCUUUAAGGCAAGUCCUUUGACGUAGUAGUAAGCUUCUUUUCUUUGCACACCGUUUUGGAGUCGUAACGAUACUGUUGUGAAGUGGUCAAGUAGUCUUCAACAUAGUCUUUGCAGUUUGAAGGCACCGUCUUGAAGUUUAUGAUGUAGACGUCUCAACACCAAGGUGCCAGCUUCUGCAGUCGGGGUAGCUGAUGGUAAGUCCUUCUUUCUCUAAGAGUUCGGCUUCGUCCCCAAAGAUGGUGUUCGAUUCGAGAAGUUCGAUGAGCCCCGGAACGGAUGCCGAAGACCGGACGUGGGAGACCGUAGCGGCCAAGAGCAAGAGAAGUGAGAGUGAGAGGAUUUUCAUUUUUUUUUUUUGGUAUGGUUUAUUGUUUAGUUAAUUUGUGAUGUUUAUUUGUGUGACACAAAUAGGCAUGUCAAUCGGGCUAGCUCGGCCCGGCCCGGCCCGGCCCGGCCCGAAGCCCGCAAAACCCGUACAUAUUUGAGCCCGACCCGGCCCUAGCAGGGCUACAUGGCUUUUCCGGAUUUUUCUUCCGAUAACAGAAAACAAACUUAUAGUUUCUAAUAUCUCUUAAAAAAUAAUCUAUAUAUGAAACGAGUCAAUCAAAAUUUAAAUAACCACUAACGCUAAUUUAGUUUUUUAAAAAGAAAGUUAAAAUCAAAUAAAUAAUCUAAAUAAAUUGUUUAAACUUAUACUAGAUAAAAUAUAAAAUCAAAAUAAUUCAAAUUAGGUAGUAGAGCUAAUAUUUACUUUUUCGAUUUAUAGUAAUACACAACAAACAAACUAAGUUUAUGGUUUUCAACUCUAUUAAAAAAAAUUUUAACAACAAAUCUUACAAUUAAACGAAAAUAUUAACAAAAAAAAAGGGUCAAAAUAUUUUUUAGAGGGCUUUUCGGGCUAGCCCGAGCCCGGCCGGGCUAAGCCUAGAAAACCCUUUAGCCCGAACGGGCUUAGCCCGAACGGGCUUAGCCCAAAAGGCUCGGUUUUUUCUAGACAUAUAAUUUGAAGUCCGAGCCCCCUGUUUUUCAUGGCUGGGUCGGGCUAGCCCGCGGGCUUUGGCCCUAGUUGACAUGUCUAGACACAAAGGGUGGUAUCUUUCUUAUUAUAUAAAGUAUGGUUUUCAAAGUUAAUAACUCAUAGGAUCUUGACACGUAGCAAAUCUAUCGAUCUUAGAUUUUGACAUGUGUAAAACAAAAAUUUCGACACGUGUGAAACAAAAAUUUUCUUUUAUUUAUUUUUAAAAUAAUAUAAGAAAACUAUACACACAUGUCAAAUUUAUCAACGUGUAAAACCAAAAAUAAUUUAUAAGGAAGUUAUACAUAUAUAUCUUAUAUAAAAAUAUUCUAAAAAUUUUAAAAAGAUAAAUAUAAGGAUACUAGAUGUAUAUGAAAUAAAAAUAGAAAUUUAAGAAAAAAAGAAUUAAGGCAACUAUACAUAUAUCUUAUAAAAAAAAUUUAAAAGUAAAGAAGAUAAUUAUAAGGAAAAUAUAUGUAUCUUAUUAACUAAAAUUAAAAAUUAAAAAAUUAUUUACUAAUUAUAAUUUAAAGCUACUAAUUCUAAAAGAAAAAGAUUAUUAAAAAAGAUUUGUGAAAUUAUACAAUCACAUUGUAUAAUAUGGUAAUUAAAAUUUUUUCUAAUUAAUUAUUAAUCGUAGAAGAAAAAGGGUUCUAAAUACUCACAUAUAUUAAUAUAUAAUUCAUCUAUAUCUAUAUAUAAAUAAAAGAAAAAGAAUUCUAUAGAUAAACAAAUAGAUAGAUAGACAAGUUAAUGGCGAUAAAGGUAAAUUAAGAAUUAUGAACGGCGAUGGAUAUAAAAUAAAAUUGUUGUCGGAAAAGCUCGACCCGAUGUCGGAGGAGAUAAAAAAGGUGGAUAAAUAAGAGCAGUUGGGAAAAGAGGGGAAGAUGCGGUAACAAUGGUGUUGGUGUUGAUGACGGUGUUUCAAGCUUGGUGAUGGUGGCGGUAAAUAUUGAUGAAGGUGGUGGGUUGGAAUUAACGAGAUUUAGUAUUGAUUGUGAUAGUUGUGAAAUUUAGUUGUGGUGGUGGCCUGGUGGAUCGGAGUAGUGAAACUCGGUGGUGAUAUCCGACGAUGAAGAUAAACAGUGAUAUGGAAAAAGAAAAAAAAUAUGGUCUCGAAGAAAUCCAACGAGAUAGAGAGAAAGAAAAAGAAAGAGGAGAUCAAGCAAAAAUAAAAGAAAUUUAAUGAGAUAAAAAAGAAAGAUUUGAGACUUCUUGCCGGCAAGAGGAAAGAAAAAAGAGACAACAAAAAACUCAUGAGUAAUAUGAACCAAAAAUUGACAAUAACCAUAUAGCAAAUAGACAUUGUUUAGUUUAUAUUAUUUUCUUAAUUCUUUUUUAGUCUUAAAUUAUUUAGUCCAUAUUUUCUAAUUUCUUCUGAAUUUGUCUUUUUGUUUUGAGCUUUUCUCAUAUUAUCAAGUAAAAUUACAUGAUGUGGAUAUAGACUGUCUCAAUGUCACAAUUUUGUUUCCAUAUUGUCCACAUUGAAAUUAUAAAGUGUUAUACACUCUUCCGAUGGAUGUAGAUAAUUUAUUAAAUUUCAAUAAUACACAUAGGAGAAUUUAUUAAAUAUCAUAAUGUAACAUAUAAUAAACAAAACUACAAAUAGUAUUUUAUAUUGCACAUUAUUCAUAAUUAAUCUAUAUUUAAAAAAUAAUUAAAAUACUACCUUUUCUAAAAUUAAAACAUAUUUUUAUAUAAUUUUAGUUAAGCUUACAAAAAUAAAAAAUAAAAAAUGACAAUUUCGAAUGGUAACCCGUGCAACGCACGGGUCCAUCUAGUCGUAUUAUAUAAAGUAUAGUUUUCAAAGUUAAUAACUUACGAGAUCGUGACACGUGUCAAAUUUUUUUAUCUGAGAUUUUGACAUGUGUCAAAUAAAUUUUUCCUUUUAAAAAGAAAGAAAAAGUUAAAAGAUAAUUAUAAAAAAUUAUAAAUUUAAACAGUUUUAAAAUGUAAAAAGCUCAUUAUAAGAAAAUUAUACAUAUAUUUCCAUAUAAGAGUUUUUACCAUCUAACAAACAAAAUUUUUGUUUUUAGAAAGCUAAUUUUAAAGAAAUUGAACAUAUAUUUCCAUAAGAGUUUUUCCAAGAAAAAAAUUUAAAAAUAGAAAAAAAUCUUAAGAAAAUUAUACAAUCAAUUAUUAAUCCUAUAAGAAAAAGGAUUGUAAAUAGUUACCUUUGAAUAAAUAAAUAGAUUGUCUCAUAUUUUCUCAUCAAGCAAACUAAUUUCUUAACAAUGUUAUAUCAUAUCAAUUAUAAAAAAAAAAAAAUCGAAUCACGAUGAUUUUCUAAAAAUAGCAUGUAAUAUUUAGAACUAAUGAAUAUAUGGCAAUUGAGCCAAACUAAUAAUGAUGAAAGGCGAUAGACAUAGACUAGAGUUAUUGUUGGAGAGGCUUGGUCCAAUGUCGGAAGAGAUAAAGAAGAUGGAGUAAUAAAAAAAGUUGGGAAAAGAGGAUAAGAGACGGUAAGUGGUGUUGGUGUUGAUGAUGGUGGUUUAAGCUUGGUGGUGGUAGCGGCGGUAAAUAUUGAUGAAGGUAGUGAGUCGGAAUUAGCGAGAUUCGGUAUUGUUGGUGGUGGUGACUGUGAUAGUAGUGAGAUUUAGCUGUGGUGGUGGGUCAUAGUAGUGAGACUCGGUGGUGAUGUCCGACAAAUGCGAGAAAUGUAGAUAGGAAAAAGAAAAAAAUAAAGAUAUGGUGGUGAAAAAAUCAGACGAGAGAGAGAAAGAGAAAGAAAGAGGAAUUCGAACAAAAAUAGGAGAAAUCUAAUGAGAGAAACAUAGAGAUUUGAAAAUUAGAAAGAAGAGAAAACGAAGAAAUUAAUAAUAUGAGCCAAAAAAUUGACAAAAGCCAUCUAGCAAAUAGAUAAUAUUUAGUAUGAUGUUAUUUUUUUAAAAAAUUUUUAGUAUUAAGUUGUUUAGUGUAUAUUUUUUAAUUCUUUAUAAGGUUUUCUCUUUCUGUUGAGGAUAUUUCAUAUUAUCAAGUAAAGUUAAAUCACAUGGAUAUAGACGGUCUCAUAUUUUAUCCUUUUUUAUUGUCACAAUUUUAUUAUGACGUCAAACUUUUCUAAACAAAAUCAUAUAUUUACGUAUCUCAUACUAUAUGUUUACGUAUUAUAUAUAUCGUUCAUAUAUUUACGUAACUAUAUAGUUUUAUUUUUUCUUAUUGUCAUUGUUUUGUUUUUAUCUUGCCCACAUUGAAAUUGUAAGAUGUAACACACUCUUCUGAUGGAUGUAAAUAACUUAUUAAAAUUCAAUAAUACAACAUAUGAAUAUUUAUGACUUCAUAACUUAUAAUAAGUAAAGAAUUAUAUAAUUUUAUAAAUAGACUAACAUUUAUAUUAGAUGACUUAAUAAUUAGUAUAACAUAACUACAAAUAAUGUUUCAUAUUGCGUAUUAUGCUAAUAAAUUUAUAUUUAGAAAUAAUUAUGCUGCAUUUUUUAAAAUAUAUAUGUUUAUAGAAUUUUAGUUAAGCUAACAAAAAUAAAAUAAAAAUGUUAAGAAUGAUAAUCUCGACCUGCAAUUCGUGCAACGCACGGUCUAUAUCUAGUUUAUAAUGAAGUAGGGUUAGGUAUGGCUACUUUUAUGACGACAGGUGGGAGAUGAGGAGAUAAGUGUACGUGUAUGUUUUGGAUUGGUGCAACAAAUGCUACUGGUCCCAUAAUGUUUAUAAUUGACAAUAUUUUUCACUUACACCACUCGUUUUUAGAGCACGUUGAGGCUGUGUGCUAAAACUAGAAUUUGGCGUUUUGUUGUUUAUUUUAAUUCUUAUCUUUGGCUUUUGUGCUUGUAAAUUUUGAAUUAUAGUUUCGUUAGAGAAUACUAUGAAGUUGUUCUACAUUACUAGAAAAAUAUAUCUGAAUAUGUUGAAUUGUUGAUGUGAGUAUAACUCAUGUUUGCGGAAAUAAUUUAAACUUUUUUUUUUGAUAAUUGGCAAAGCCAAUAGUGCAAAACGUGAUAUUUGAUAAACGAGUAAUUGGCAGCAGCUUCCGCAGUGGGCAACAAGAGAUAGGUACGUGUAUUGUGUAGGUUGAAUCAUACGAGAUGAAAUAUGUCGGUAAGAUAAGAAAUGUGAGGUAUGCAAGUAUAGACGUUAAAUAAUACGUCUGAAUGUUUUACAUUGUUACAUAUCACAUAGCUUUUUCCUCUUGAUGAAAGCCUUCCUCAAAUUCGAGAAAUCCAUCAUGAAUGUUUGAUCUAGAUCCAUUUUUGUUCCAAGUUAUUAAACAAGCUUUUUAAUGAAAGCCUUUGAUUUAGACUCUACCUAAAUGUUUGAUUUCAGAACAAUUCAAACCAUUUUUAUAUGUUUUUUUUUUUUUUUUUUUUUUUUUUUUUUUUAGAAAACGAACCAUUUUUAUAUGUUUACCGAUGAAAACAUAGCUACCUACCAAAAUAUCCAAAUAUUUAGUACAAAACCUUCUUGAAUAUAUUUCAAAACAAGUUUUGUGGUGAAAACCGUUCAAAAUAUUUUUGAUAUCCAAGAUUCUAAUAAGAAAACAAUAAAUACCAUAUGAAAACAAGUAAUCAAACUCAAAAUACUUCAACCUCAUUUAGCAUGUAUAGAUGUCAAGUGAAACCUUCAAUCUUGUAUCUUAUAACUACGUGUUCUACUUCCUCCACAUAUGUUGAUUUGGUUCUUUCCCACGAUCAUAUAACUUUUUGGCAAUGGAACCAUCAGAUUAAAAUAAUCCCCAUGUUUUACCAUGCCAAAAUGUUUUUUUUUUUUUUUAUAAAUCCUAUCAGCGGAUCCGGUUAGCCCCGAUAGAAAUGCACCGAAGUGCUUUAGAGUGGACUUCUUCCCGAAGGACCACCACACUGUCUGUCCCGAGUUUAGAAUGUUUUCCGACUAAUGGCAGGGGUAGCCAGAUCGCCUGUUACUGGACUACCAGAUAAACUGCCUGAGCCUUUGGCCCAAGCGACUUCCCACACAGAUUUGCUUUUUGUUUUCAGAGUGGAUCGAACUUGGGUUAGUUCCUUCAAACAUUUCUCCAAUUCCCAACUACCACUGGACCACAGCUGUGUAGGCUACCCUCCAAAAAUGUAUGAGACAAGAUUAAGGGAGACCUUCCAUAAUUAUAUGGAGUUCUUUUUUUUUUUCUUUUUGAAUUUUAAAAUCGCCAAAAAUUAUCAAAAACAAGCCAUAUAUGUUCAUAUAAAUUCAACGAGCAAUAGCAAAAUCUUAUUCUGAACACAUUUACAAGACAAAACAAAUCUUAACCAAGUCACCAAACCAAGUUUAAUAUAUAAACUAUAACAUAAGCAAACAAACAAGUCUAAUAAUCGUGAUAUGUAUAAACUAAUCUCCUCUAUAAACAAAUGGGAAUACGUUUAAUAUAGUAUCACAAACAAAAGUAGUAAACAUAUUGUUCAUGAAAUCAGAAUCUAAACGUCAUUGGAGUACAAACCAUUGCAUUUUCAUGAAAUCAAAACCUAUAAAAAUAACAUUCAAUUAUGCUAAGCAAUCAAUCUACUUUAAGAUCGACACAAAAUGAAAGAUGAGAAAAAAUGGGUACUAACUUGAAUUAAUAAGCGCUUUGUUACAGAUCACGUUGGAGAUAAACUUGAAUUUUUACCACAAAUUGAAACAGUUUGAGAAAAAUGAAAGCCCGAAAAACUCUUUCUUCUGUUGUUUUAGAAUCCUAAAUCGAAACCAAAAUCAAAAUAAGAGUUUCACAUCCCGAUCGGGAAUUGAUUUGUUUUAGUAUCGAAACCAAAACUAAAAAAGAGCUUCCAUCAAUGAAGCGGUUAGAAAAUCUUAUUAUGAAAUCGAGCUUGUAAGUGCACUCUAUACCAGGAGCUCAGAUAAGUGCACAAGUUGCCGGAACAGGAUUGAAGCUGUUCUUGGAUACAGGAGUAAUGACUAAGUAAUUGUCGCUGACGUGGAAUAGGCGCCAAAUGAAUGAAUGACGUGGUGAUCACAACAGGAUAAGUUCAGUUUGGCAAGAAGAUAUUCGAUGGAGAUUUGGAGAGAUCCAAGAUCGAGAAGACUAAACCUAGAAGAUCUGAAGACCUCGUGAAUAUAAAAGGGGUGCUAAGGCUCUUGCUAGGGUUAGCCGUUUCUGAAGCAAAAAAAGUAUCGCAAGCUUUUUUGUUCUGUUAGAGAGUAAGCUUUACUCUGUUUGAGUUGCAAGAGAGAUUAGAGAGUGUGUUCUUGUAAUUCUCUUGUGAGUCUUAGAAAUCUCAGGUGACAAGCCAAAAGUAGUUUUAGGUCUUGUGUAAAACCAGUUAAGAGAGUUGUAUCUUCUUAACCAGAUUUCUAAUAAAGUAAUACUCAGUGUUUCUGAGUUUGGGAAAUACGGUUCUGAGUUCAUCCAAAUUUCACUUGGUAUCAGAGCAGGCAUCUGAACUAAGUUGAGAUCAUACAUUGUUAAGAAGAUACAACUCUCUUAACUGGUUGAUAGUGAAUCUGAAGAUGACGAUUCAGAUGAUGAUGUGAAAGGUUUCGUUUCCUUUAUAGGAAUCAUAGAAGAAAACUCUGACAGUGAUGUAGAAGACAGAGAUAGUAUUGUCCAAGCUGAUGAUGAAUCAGAAAUGGAGAAGGAUCUUGAUAUUGAUGGACAGUUCAGGAAAAUGUAUGACAACUGGUGUCUUCUGAGUAAAGAGAAGAUUGCUUGGAUGGAAGAGAAGCUAGCAAUUUUGGAACUAAAUGAAAAACUGAAAGCUGACUUGGCUCUGGAGAAUCAGAAGAAUAGUGAACUCGUUCAGAAACUCGGGUUGGAAGAGGAGAAUGUCAGAGUGCUUACUCAAGAACUCAGCGAUACCCGCAAGAAGAUACACAUGUUGAACAGUGGAACAAAGGACUUGGAUAGCAUCUUAGCUUCUGGAAGAACAGGAAAAUCCAACUUUGGAUUGGGGUAUCAAGGAGGAGAAACAAGUGGUAAGACGAAUUUUGUUCGAAGCAAAGCUGUACCUGGUGUUCGAAGUCAGACAUGAUUCAGAAACCAGACCAGAGCUGUUCCAGCAAGACAACAGUAUCAGAACUACAAUUAUCGUCAGACAGGGUUUCAAAACCAGACUGGAGCUGUUCCAGCAAGACGAUAGUACCAGAACUUCAAUCACAGUCACUAUCACAGGUCAGUGACAGGUUACGAAUGCUACUACUGUGGACGACAUGGUCACAUUCAGAGAUUCUGCUACAGAUAUGCAGCUAAGGUAAACCAGCUGAAACGACAAGGUAAGCUCUAUCCACAUCAACACAGAGCUUCAAAGAUGUAUGUUAAGAGGGACGAUCUGUACUGUCAUGUAGCAUACAUUUCAGCUGAAGCAGGUGGGUCAAGGCCGUGGUACUUUGACAGUGGAGCAUCUCGACACAUGACGGGAAGUCAUUCUAAUCUUAACAACUACACUACUGUUAAGGAGAGUAAAGUCACAUUCGGUGGUGGAGCUAAAGGAAGAAUUAGAGGAAAAGGAGACUUGACUGAAGCUGAGAAACCGCAACUCACAAAUGUUUACUUUGUGGAGGGACUUACUGCAAAUUUGAUAAGUGUAAGUCAGCUAUGUGAUGAAGGAUCAACAGUGAGCUUCAACAGAGUCAAGUGUUGGGCUACAGAUGAGAAGAAUCAGAAUGCUCUUUCAGGUGUUAGAACCGGUAACAACUGCUACAUGUGGGAAGAACCAAAAGUUUGUCUUAGAGCUGAAAAAGAUGACCCUGUCUUAUGGCAUCAACGCCUUGGCCACAUGAAUGUCAGAAGCAUGUCCAAGCUGGUCAAUAAGGAAAUGGUUAGAGGUGUACCGGAGUUAAAGCAUCUUGACAAGAUCGUGUGUAGUGCUUGCAACCAAGGAAAAGAGAUUAGAGUUCAACACAAGAAGGUGGAGGGAGUGCAGACCACUCAAGUUUUAGAUCUCAUUCACAUGGAUCUAAUGGGACCAAUGCAGACAGAAAGCAUUGCCGGAAAGAGAUAUGUUUUUGUCUUGGUUGAUGACUUCUCACGUUAUACUUGGGUAAGAUUUAUCAGGGAAAAAUCUGAGACUGCCAACAGCUUCAAGAUCUUAGCUCUUCAGCUGAAAAAUGAGAAGAAGAUGGGAAUAAAACAAAUCAGAAGUGAUCGCGGAGGUGAGUUUCUAAGUGAAGCCUUUAACAGCUUCUGUGAGUCUCAAGGAAUUUUCCACCAAUACUCAGCACCUAGAACUCCACAGUCUAAUGGUGUUGUUGAAAGGAAAAAUCGAACUCUUCAAGAAAUGGCCAGAGCCAUGAUUCAUGGGAAUGGAGUCCCUGAGAAGUUUUGGGCUGAUGCCAUUAGUACUGCAUGCUAUGUCAUAAACCGAGUGUAUGUCAGGAUAGGGUCUGAUAAAACUCCCUAUGAGAUCUGGAAGGGGAAGAAGCCAAAUCUAAGUUACUUCCGAGUAUUUGGAUGUGUCUGUUACAUCAUGAAUGAUAAGGAUCAGCUGGGAAAAUUUGAUUCUCGCAGUGAAGAAGGUUUCUUUCUUGGUUAUGCUACCAACAGUUUGGCAUAUCGAGUUUGGAACAAGAGGAGGGGAAAGAUAGAAGAGUCAAUGAACGUUGUCUUUGAUGAUGGAAGUAUGCCCACUUUGCAAAUAAUUGCAAGUAAUAGUGGUGAAGCUCACAACUUAACUCCAAGGAUCCAAGAAGUGGAAGGAAAUGAGAAUCAAAAUGUCAGUGAAGCAAAUGAAUCAGAAGAAGAAUCUGAUGAGGAAGUUCACUCAAUCCAAGUACACCGUAAUCAUUCUGCUGGGGAUGUAAUCGGAGAUCUGAAUGGUGAAAGAGUAACAAGAGGGAUAAAACAGAACUACAGACAAAUGGCUUCGUUUGCAGGCUUUGAAGAGAUCAUGUUUUCAUGUUUUGUUUCCAUGACAGAACCUAAGAAUGUCAAAGAAGCUUUGGAUGAUCAUUUCUGGAUUCUUGCAAUGGAGGAUGAAUUAGAAGAAUUCUCAAGAAAUCAAGUUUGGUAUUUGGUUCCAUGGCCUCCAAAAGUGAAUGUUAUUGGAACUAAGUGGAUCUUCAAAAACAAAAGUGAUGAAGAAGGAAAUAUCAUCAGAAACAAAGCUAGGCUCGUGGCACAAGGAUACACUCAAGUUGAGGGACUAGACUACGAUGAAACCUUUGCUCCGGUUGCAAGGCUCGAAUGCAUAAGGUUUCUUCUUGGCACAGCAUGUGGUAUGGGGUUUAAACUGCAGCAGAUGGAUGUCAAGAGCGCCUUUUUGAAUGGCAUCAUACAGGAGGAAGUGUAUGUAGAGCAGCCCAAAGGAUUUGAGAGUCUUGAGUUUCCGGAUCAUGUGUUUAAAUUGGAAAAAGCUCUGUACGGUUUGAAACAAGCACCUCGUGCAUGGUAUGAGAGACUUACUACUUUUCUGACAGUGGAAGGAUACAUACGUGGGAGUGUUGAUAAGACUCUGUUUGUCAAAAGGGAUAGUCAUGGGAUGAUCAUCAUACAAAUUUAUGUAGAUGAUAUCGUUUUUGGAGGAACAUCCGACAAACUUGUCAAAUCAUUUGUAAAGGCAAUGACAACUGAGUUCAGGAUGAGUAUGGUAGGAGAACUCAAGUAUUUUUUGGGGUUGCAAGUGAACCAGACGGAUGAAGGCAUUACCAUCUCACAGAGCACAUAUGCCCAAAAUCUUGUAAAACGGUUUGGAAUGUGUUCUAGCAAGUCCGCCAGAACUCCCAUGAGUACUACGUUGAAACUCUCCAAGGAUGAGGCUGGUGAAAAGGUGGAUGAAAAGGCAUACAGAGGUAUGAUUGGAAGUCUCCUCUAUCUCACUGCAAGUAGGCCGGACUUAUGUCUCAGCGUAGGACUGUGUGCAAGAUAUCAAGCCAAUCCCAAGGCUUCUCACUUAGCAGCUGUGAAGAGAAUUGUCAAAUAUGUGAAAGGAACAGUGAACUACGGGCUUAGUUACACCAGGGAUACUAGUCUGGCACUAGUUGGCUACUGUGACGCUGACUGGGCAGGGAAUCUUGAUGAUCGUCGGAGUACUACUGGUGGUUGUUUUUUUCUAGGAAACAAUCUCAUCUCAUGGCACAGUAAGAAGCAAAAUUCUGUAGCACUGUCUACAGCCGAGUCUGAAUAUAUUGCCCUUGGCAGCUGCUGCACUCAACUCCUCUGGAUGAAACAAAUGGGCCUGGAUUAUGGUAUUUCAUUUCCUGAACCUUUACUUGUUAAAUGUGAUAAUCAAAGUGCAAUUGACAUCUCUAAGAAUCCUGUGCAGCAUUCUAGAACUAAACACAUUGAGAUAAGGCAUCAUUUUGUUAGAGAAUUAGUUGAAGAGAAACAAGUUAUCAUAGAACAUGUACCCACUGGAAUCCAACUUGCUGAUAUUUUCACUAAGCCUUUAGACUUUGACACGUUUGUGAACUUGCAAAAGUCCCUGGGUGUUUGUGAACUCUGACUAUCUUCUCGUUGAGUGUUUGUGCUGAAACAGGGUUGGUUGUACAGUGAGAAGUGUGUUUUUCAAAAUAUUUCUGUGAUUCACAAGUGUUUUGUUUAAAAUUUUUUGCUGAAAAGUUCAUCAAGAGAAAGAGCUACCUAUCAUGUGUUGGAGCUGCAAAGUCAGUAAAUUGUGUGAUGGACAAUGUGUGUAGAGCAUUCAGGAAGGCGUGAAAUGCAGAAAGGAGCAGAAAAAGCAUUUCAUGUCAUAAGAUGAAGCAUGAGCUUAUCUAAGUCACGGGGGACAAAGGAGAAAUCUUGUCACUAACCCGAGGGAACAAAGGAGAAAUCUUGUUUACCUAACAAUAUGUGAGAGGAGCAAACAUCAAUCAAAAUAAAAGAGGUUCAAAAGCAGUCUUGUCAUAAAAAAAAAAAAAAGGAACUGUUGUCCUCUGGUUGCAAUCUUCUCUCACUGCAGAAAGGAGCAGUAAGAUGCACAUUCACAAGGUCUGAAACGCUUUCUCAGCCUUGUGGUUACAUAGAGCCUGAAUGCUGCUGCACAGUCUAUCACAUUCCUUGUCAAAGGACUCGCUAGCUCUCUGAUCCAUGACAGUGUGAAGACUACUCUUGAAGAAUCAACAUUCUCAUAUGUGUUGGAACAGCAGAUUAUGUGUUUUAAAAAAAAAAAAAAAAAAAAAAAAAAGGAGCUUCGCACUGUACAAUUAGCUUUGGGACUGCACAGAUGUCAACAUGUGGAAGAGACGGUUGCUGUUCUGAGUACACUGAUAGGGACUUGUUCUAUGUCAAUCACUGUCUUGCGUCAGAAAAUUGAGUUGGAUCUUCAGAGGUACCGUGUUUAAAAAUUUUUUUUAAAAAAAUUAAGAACUCUGUGUGUUUCUUUUAGUGCUUUCUCUGAUUGAUUCUUGAUUAAACCGGUUUUAUACCCGGUUAGCACUAAUUUUUGGUUUUGAGUUUUUUGUUUGUCUAACAGGAGAACACGCGGGAUAUCACAAGUUUUUGUGUUUCUUUCUCUUUGAGAGUCGUUCCCAAUUCCUCUCUCAAACCCUAGCCAUGGCGAGAACUCGCGCUGCUGCUAAGCGCUCUCAUCCCGAUCGAUUGGAGCUCAAUGAUUCCGACAGCUCAAUUGAGGAAGUUCCCCCGAAAGCAGCCCUUCGAUCCUCGAGUUCUGCUCCGCCACCAGAUGCUGCGGCUGACUCCGGCCCUGCUCCGUUAGACAAAUCGAUGCCAUCUUCUUCGAAAGCGGCUGGCCACAAAUCUGCACCGUCCUCCUCGCAUCCCCCAAUCAACGAUCCGGUGCCAGAUCUGCUGAAGAACUUCAUGAAGACCCGCGGGAACGUUCCGUACGACUCAUCAGACCGCUGCAGCAUGCACCGCUAUCAUCAGGCAAAGAGGGAUGCGGCUGACCCUUCGAUUUGGAAGCUGCCCUAUGCUCCGAUGAACUUUCGCUUCCUCACAUCUCAGGGAAUUGAAAGGUACAAAGAUUUCACACACCGUGAAUUUCAUGACCAGAGGUAUGUUCCGCGUGGUCCUGCUAGUACUACUGAGAUGAUGAAAUUGAUAGAGGAGAAUCACCUGUCUGACACUGUUAGUGAGAUUGAUCCGUAUGUCAAAGAAGUUGUGCUGGAAUUUUACUCAAAUUUCCACAUAUUCAAUGAGGUAACCAAGAAGUCGCCUGUGUUUGUUCAAGGGAAAAUGUACGAAUUCUCACCACAGAUGAUCAACAAAGCGUUUCGUACUCCUGCUAUCAAGUGGCAUGCCAAGGCUGAGUAUGAAAGAGCUGCAUUGUCGAAGCAUGCCUUGGCUAAGUAUCUGUCAGAAGGUAAAGUUGUUACCUGGAAGGACCUGCGUACUCCUGUGAUGCCUACACAUCUGGCUGGCCUGUACUUGAUUUGCUGCAUUAAUUGGCUUCCAUCAAAGAACAAUUCAAAUGUGACAAUUGAUCGGGCUAAGCUUUUGUAUCUUAUCAAUGAGAAAAUCCCUUUCAAUUAUGGGAAGCUGGUAUAUGAUCAAGUGGAAAGAGCUGCUCGCUUUCCAGGUCAGAUUCUAAACAUUCUGCCAUUCCCGAACUUGAUCUAUCGGGUACUUAUGUUUCAGAGGGAGAUUACCUUGGAGAACUUUGAAAAACCUGAUCCACCUCCAAAGAAGUUCAAUCCAGAAGUGAGAGGUGGUAUAGAUCACCCAAGACGUCGAGGAGAGUAUGUGUUUGGAACCUCAUUGGCAGGAGACCUGAGACACGCAUCCACUCUCCUGCUGAACAUGGCUGUUCGGUUGGAAGGUACGUUUUCAAGUUUCUUUACUGGAGUCUUGAGUGCAUAGGUGUAAUCCUGGUAGAAGUUUUGUUUUUGACUCAAUUGUGUCAUACAAGCAGGGGGAGAUUAUGGGUUAGUACAGCCUUCUUCUGAUCAGUCUCAGGGUGUGAAUGCUGAUGCCGAGGCUCAAGGUUCUGAACCUGAAGCUGAUGACUCUUAUGCUGAGCCCGUUGAUGAAGGCUGGCCUUCAGAGAACUCUAAUUCGGAUUCAUUUGUGGAUUCAUUGGAUGUUGACAAUGAAGAAGGGUUUGAAGACACUCAGUCAGGAUAAUAUAGACUAGUUUUGGAGACUGAGUGGUCUAGGAUUUAGGGGGAGUCUUAACUUUUGGCAUUACUUCGGAUUGUUUUUGUAUGUAUGCCAUGUUUUCUCUGUUUUUCAGUAUCUUGCGAACAAGGAUCCUGUGUCUGAAUAUUUUUCGGAGUUAAGACUUAAUUUUAAUAAUUCCGCUGUGCCUUGUUUUUCGUUGAUAUGAUGUGUGCUUGUGAAUCUUGAGAGAAUCAUUGCAGGAUGGCUUGAAUUGACAAAUUGAAUCAAAAAGGGGGAGAUUGUAAGUGCACUCUAUACCAGGAGCUCAGAUAAGUGCACAAGUUGCCGGAACAGGAUUGAAGCUGUUCUUGGAUACAGGAGUAAUGACUAAGUAAUUGUCGCUGACGUGGAAUAGGCGCCAAAUGAAUGAAUGACGUGGUGAUCACAACAGGAUAAGUUCAGUUUGGCAAGAAGAUAUUCGAUGGAGAUUUGGAGAGAUCCAAGAUCGAGAAGACUAAACCUAGAAGAUCUGAAGACCUCGUGAAUAUAAAAGGGGUGCUAAGGCUCUUGCUAGGGUUAGCCGUUUCUGAAGCAAAAAAAGUAUCGCAAGCUUUUUUGUUCUGUUAGAGAGUAAGCUUUACUCUGUUUGAGUUGCAAGAGAGAUUAGAGAGUGUGUUCUUGUAAUUCUCUUGUGAGUCUUAGAAAUCUCAGGUGACAAGCCAAAAGUAAUUUUAGGUCUUGUGUAAAACCAGUUAAGAGAGUUGUAUCUUCUUAACCAGAUUUCUAAUAAAGUAAUACUCAGUGUUUCUGAGUUUGGGAAAUACGGUUCUGAGUUCAUCCAAAUUUCAGAGCUUACCUUGAGUUUUAAAUCCAAAAUGGAUGACGGGAUUAGGUUGCAGUGAGAGAGGGUGAAAAAGAUUUAUAGGUUUUGUGUAGAAAAGAUGAUGAUUGCGAGAAUCGGGCGAGAAUGUGAAAUGGUAACGAAAACAGCGAGCACGAGAACCCGGCGAAGCGACGAGAAUCCGGCGAUUUUUAGGUCAUUAUUAUGGCAACGAGAAUCUGGCGGUUUGAGAUAUGUUUUGGCAAUUUCGUCAAUUGUGGCCCGUUUGGUCUUUGUGGCUCAAUAACGCAUCUUUGAAAAUUGCCGGUUAGAUAUAAACUUGUGUUAUAUGUUGAAUUUCAGAAUUUUGGUGCUAAAUUUGGAAAUAAAAUAUAAUAUUGUGCUAUUUUGUCAAUUAUCCAAAAAAAUAUAUUCAAUGGCAAUAAUUUAAAUAAUUGUUUUUGUUGUAUAUUUAUUUCUUUUUAAUUAAUAAUUUUGUUUUAUUAUUGAAGAGAAAAAGUGUAGGACCCACAUAUCUGAAAAAUGAAACAAAAAUUCCUACAAAUUGUAAAACAUAUUGAAGAACAAAGAGGAACAUGAUAUUCCUACUUAUUUUUUCCUUAAAAAUGGUUAUCAAUUCGAGUUUUACUUUUUUGUAGGAUUAUAUAUUUCUCCCGUGCAACAUCAACGAGUGAUAUUCUUAUUUUUUAUACUGUACAAUAAUUAAACGUGUUUUACUUUAAUCUAUGAGAUUGUGACAUUAUGCCAUACAUCAUAAACAUAUUUUACAUCCUAUAUUGCAAAAUUAUAGCAAAAUUUUUGUUCCAAAUUUUUCGAAAUUCAUUUUUGUUUUAUUUAACUAUUAACUGCUAAAUUAUUUUUUUUCAAUUCACUUUGUUUUUUCUUUUUAUUAAAUUCAAAUUGUCAUGGCCAGUUGAUUAAAUACUUCCUAUAAAGAAAAACAACAUUUAGUACAAAGUCUUUGUACUUAUUAAGUUACGAUAGGAUAUCACAUAUACAAACAACAUUCCUUACGAAUAACUUUUUUGAACUCUAAUUAAUUUAGGAUAACAAGAAAAAAAAAAGAUAUGAUAGACAUUUUAUUUAUGCACCGGUGCCAAAACGGCUACAAAGAUAAACGAAACGACAUAGAUAUGAAGCGGAUACAAGGGGACAAAGCCAUGAUGAUAGAUAGAUGCUUAAGAAGGUACGUAGUAGAGUGGAUUUGGGAGCUUAAAAACCCUUCCAGGAGUAUCCUCAACCAAAUCAGCCCAUUGGUCUCCAAUAUUGCCAACGAUGUUGUAUCCUUUCUUCACCAGGCUCUUCCUCACCUUUGACUUGUACACCACUUGCC
RNAcentral lists this long non-coding RNA (52088 nucleotides) under Arabidopsis lyrata. RNAcentral describes it as "long non-coding RNA (ALYR_LNC001302)". The record is from RNAcentral. Lineage: Eukaryota; Viridiplantae; Streptophyta; Magnoliopsida; Brassicales; Brassicaceae.